UCUCAUUAUGAGCAUCUUGCUCCCCCAUCUGUCUCAAGGCGGCUCAUGUCUUAAGUGGCAUUCUUACCUCGAAAAGAGUAAACACUUGUUAUUAAACACAUUUUACGGUCAUUCCUAAAGGAAAAGGUGGUUUCUAGAAUAGGGAAUCUAUACGGUCUCUUUGUUGUGAAAUGUGCCUCGAUUCACAAUUCACAAUCAAAGUUUCCACAUAAAGACCCAAUACUCCGUUGGAUCAAAUAAAUAAGUUUUAGGACCUAGACAACCUAGGACUCUAAUACCAACUUUGUACUAGCCCAAUUUUCUGGGCCAUGAUCGGUGGAUGGACCUAAUGGGCACAGCCCACUAAGCCCAAGCAAGCCUCUUUAUGUAGUCCUUUCCAUUAUUUCAUCACUCAUUCCUACAGUCACAUCUCGUAAUUCUUAACUAUAGGUAUUUCAAUAAUAUACUAUGACCACCAAAUAUUUACAUUUGUAUUAUCUCAAAAUAAUGUCACCCAUUGCCAACUCAUAGUGGCACCAUAAAUCAAAGUAUACAUAUUUUGAUCAUAACAUGCAUCUCAGUGAUUUACAUCAUGUGUACGUAUACACAAGCAAAAGACUUUUAACUACUAAUGGAGUGACUUUGGGUGAAGGUAUAGCUACUGAAUGCCAUGAUACCUACCAAAAGGCGAAUAGGAAAGGACACCUCAAUCUAGUCCCAACUACCUCCGAAUCUAAAAACAUGACGUUAACAAGAAUGAGUAUAAACCCAGUGAGCGAACAUAAGAAAGGAAUAAGCAAACAAUAAGGAAAGUUUUAGAAAAAAUGAUGCACUCAAUUUAAAACAAUAUAGUUUAGCUUAAUUUCUUGUUAAAACCCCUCAAUUCAACCCUUGAUUACUUAAUCCCUUAGUGUUGAAGGGUCCAUAAUCAACAAUGAAGUUAAAGAGUGAAAACUACAGCAAAUAUCCAAGCAAGGCAGAGAGUUUCUCGCUGCAACGAGAAUUCAAUUUCACUGUAGUGAAAUUCUGGGUAGGAACCACCCGAGAGUUUCUCACUACAGCGAGAAUGCAUUCUCGCUGUAGCAAAAACCAAGGUUGGGUCAAGCCCCCAAGCACCCAAGAGUUUCUCGCUGCAGCGAGAAUGAAAUUUCGCUGUAGCAAGAAACAGGUCCAUUAAGUUAGAAGAAUUCUUGUUACAAAGAAAAUCCAUUCUUGCUGCAAUGAAAAUCAAUUUGGAAGCAUUUACAAUGUCAACAUUCAACAUUCAAUGCAAUCAUAUAAUAUUUUCCUUAACCUCUCUAUGGUAUGUGUAAACAUAUACAACUACCGGCUCACCAACUCGUGCACUCCCACACUGCACAUAGCUAAAAUCAUCAUUUGCACUCCCACACUACACAUAGCUAAUACUAUCAUGUGCACUCCCACACCGCAUGUCACGACCCGGUACUCCCCUCGAGCCCGUGACAACAACCGCGGUGUCCGCAUCGACACUCAUUACCCGAAAUGUCAACCAAAACCCCGUAAGGCUUUAAUAUCAGUUUAUCAUUUCCCCUGUUAGUAACCGUAGCCAAAUAUCAUGUUCUAAAAGAUUUUAAGCUAUUUCCAACUUAAAUCAAUAAAAAAAAUGAUUUCUGUCUCACAGGGGCAUUUUGGUCAUUUUUCCUCAAAAAUCUCGAAACCAACUAAAAAUGUAGUAUGCGAGUAUAAAACACAUAAUUAAUAAUAAAAAAUAAGCUUAGAUAUCUAAAACAUUCAUUUAAAGUGAAAUUAUAACUAUUUGAAUAUAAUAAAAAUAUUCAAUAAAAUAUUUUAUUUUCUUAUAAAAUAAUAUUUAUGCAGUUACCAGUAAAUAAUUUUUGUAGCGUAAAAGCUAAAUAAAUUCAUACAUACUGUAAUACAGAUAACCAAAGUAUAAAAUUUAAUUUACAGUAACACGUGGGCCCACGAACGACCAAAAGUAUCAAAAGCGGUAAACCUACAGUUUUUGAGGAUGCAAGUCCAACUGUAGCCCUUAACGAAAUGAGUUAUUUACCAACUAUCCUGAGCCUAAAAUGGGUGGAAAGAAGGGUGGUGAGAUUAUACAAUCCCAAUGAGUAAACAAAUACCAUAGAAAAUAUCUAAAGUUGAGUAAAUGGAGACAGAAAAAAUAGUUUAUCAUAUUGUAAUUCAUCACCUUUCAACUCAUUUCAACCAAAUAAACUUAAUUCAUAUAAAUCGAGUAUUCAACAUGGCUUAUGAAUUUCUCAAAAGCUUUUGCUCGUGCCAAAAUCAUUCUUAUACUUAGUUAUCAAGGAUACCUUGGCCGAGGGCUAUCACAACUGAGUCCGCAAAGGCUGAUAAAAAGUUAUGUACGCAUAAAUUAUGUUUUUAUUUUAAAAACAUAGUCAUUCCUUAGCGUUGGCUGAGUUCACCCUCACGUGGUGGUUUGGCGUGAAGUGAACUUUAAAGUGUUAACCUCAGGAGUUAUCCGUCCGCGCCUCUCAUACUGAGGUAUGACUAUAACGGGGUUACCGUACGUCCUCUAAUAGGAUGGUCCACGGAACCCGUACACUGCAGCGACUAAUCAAUAACCCACUAAUUCAAUAAAAUUUAACAGCAUGACAUGGCAAUUUUAUCAUUAUCCAGCCUAUCAAGGCAAACAACAGUUUAUACAUUUUCAACAUAAAUACCAAUUCAGCUAUUCAUGCCAAUAUUGCCAUAAGCCAAUCAAUUAGAACCAUAAAUUCACAAUACAUCAAAUGGUCUCCAAUUACUUUAUUUUCAAAGCCAUCAUUCAAUUUCAAGACAAUUUUUAAAAUAAUUUCAUUUAAACACAUUUUGUUUAUAAAACAUAAAGAUUUACCAUUUAAACUCAUUUUUCAUAAAAUCACAAAAUCGGAGAAAAACCAUUAUAGAUAAUUAAGAUGAUAGUAAGGUUACUCACUAUUUCGGGAGUCGAAUUCCGAGUACUCCGAUUCUUGAUCCUCGGGUACUAUCUCUUUACUUUUGCCAAAAUGCUCACCACCUAGACAUAAUGCACAAUAAGCCAUUUACUAUAUUUGUGCUAAAUUGUUAUAAAACCAAUUCAGGCUCUAUAUUAAUGCAUGAAAUGGGAUGCAAAUUGUUCGGAUUAUUGUCUAAACACGGUGUUCUACACAAAUUCAAUUGUGUACCUAAAUAAAACGGUAUUGGCCUAAUUCGAUCUAUCACUCGAUUAAUUGGCCAAUAUGUCCAAUUUAACUCCAAAUAAUUCAAUUUUUCUUCUAAUUCUCCAAAUCAUCAAACACAAAUUAAAUAACUUGAAAUAUGGCGAAAUCAUCCUCACAUUUUUUCUUGGAAAAUUCGGCCAUCGUGGGUGCAUAACACUAUAAUUUUUCCUACAUGAUUCUCACACCAUAAAUCACUAAUUCCUAACCAAAUCACUUGAAAUAAAAUUAAAAUCAUCAUCAAUAUUCUACAUGGAGAAUUCGGCCAAUGAUGGGUGAUGGAAGAACAUGAUUUUUUCUUGCUUGAUUUUCAUGCUACACAUCACCAAUCAACUAAAAACACUAAAAUACAUUGAAAUCUAACCAAAUCAAGCAUCAAAACCUCUCUCUAAGUGUUCAGCCAGCAAGAUACCCAUCAUGAAAUCAUGUGAUUCAACCAUGAAAAAUGCAAAAGAAUGCAUGGGAAAGGUAGAUCACAAGUGAAAAUCAAAAAAUUUUACCUUUAAUUGCUUGAUUACUUGGAAUCCACCAAUUUUCUCUUGAAUUUUCACCCUAGGGUUCUUGUUCUUUCUUUUCUUCCUUUGUUCUUGCUUUGGCCGGCCAUAUGAAGAGAAAUGGGCUGAUUUUGUGCUAAUUUAUAAGGAAAAUAAUAAAUGGAUGAAACUUUGACACAUGUCACCAUUCCAUUAGUCCAUGUGUCAUACUUACCUAUUAAGCAAUCUCUCUCCACCACUUAAAUUUCCUCAAUUAUCCAUGAUAAUAUUGGGUAAAAUUCAUGUGCUGGACAAGUGUUGGGUGGUGUAAAAUUACAAUUUUGCCCUUGGGGUGGUAAAAUGACUAUUUUGCCCUUAUGCUCAAAAAAAUGCCGGAAUUAAAAUUUUUCACUUUUCAAACUCAAAUUAUGUUCUAUAUAAUCAAUCUUGACCAAAAGCUUCUUCCAACAUUUCAAUUUUAACCUCGGGUGGCAAAAUGACCAUUUUGCCCCUAGGUCAUGAAAAUUCUAAUUUGACUACAAAUUGGUCCUCGAACUCCGAAUCACCAUUUUAAGUCAUUCUGGGGUUUUAAAAUUCUCAAUUUCAUCUUAAAAUCUCUAUUUGGACUAGUUCGAGGCUUAAUUCAACUUAAUGGUACCAUUUGGUACAUUACCGUCCUUUAACGAUUUUCGAGGUACCCAAGUAAGCAAACAUGCAUUCUUAUGUAAGAAUGACAUAAUAAACAUAUUGUAGAGCCGGGCUUGACACCGCACAUGGCAAAUAUCAUCAUGUACACUCUUGCACCACAUCAUCACCGACAUGUGCACUCCCACACCGCACACACUCUAUUGUAAUUAACACACAAUAUUAUCGUUCAAGGCAUAACAUGCAUAGCAUCAUAAUAUAGGAACACAUGAAUUCAUCACAUUUCACAUUUCACAACAUAAAAACCUUUCAUCAAGGGCUUGUUCCCAUGCAUAUUUUAAAGAAAAGACCAAUAAAUAUUUUAAGUGAUUCAAUCAAACACUUAUGCAUUUAUCCCAAAACAUUUUAAUGCAAGUUCAUUCACCUGUCUUUGUUGACUCUUUAAGACUCCAACAUCCACUAACGCUCCAAAAGGAGAUGUGGGGUCUCGUUGGAACCUAUCACACAAAAUAGCAUCACAACCAACUCAUUUGACAUGAAUAUUAUUCCAAAAGCUAUUUUCUAAAUCAAACUUUACUAGUUAUUACUCACUAGUUUCCAAUUACCAUUUGACUAGUCAUUAGUUUGCACUACUCUAGUCACACUAGGAAUAAAUAAAUAACCUUAAACAAUAAAAUAGCCCACAAUUCUAAUUAUUGGCCAUUUAUCAACAACUUAAAAAUCAACCCUAACUCAUUACUCACCUUGAUGGAUUUGUAGUUGAAUUCCUUUUCAAAAGCUUUUCAAGCUAUUAUGCAAAGUCUCCCUCUCUCUCUAAAAUAUCAACUAGUGAGAGAAAGUGCUGAGGAAAGACUUUUGAGAGUUUUUAAAGUGAAAGAGUGAAGGAGCAAGAAAAAUCCUAUUGAAAGGUGUAUAGAAACAUGAAAAUUUGAGUUACUUUGAGAAAGUUAUGGAGGUUUUAAGGGUGGCCUCCAUGAAAGAUGGAGAGUUUGAAAUGGAGAGAAAGGAUGGGAGGAAGAAGAAAAAGCUGUUUGAAGUAAGAAAAAAGCUGCUGAAAAAUUAGAUAUUUAUUCUUAUGGUUGACAAAACUCCACUUAUUUACAAAAAUACCAUUGCAUAGUUGACAAAAGGUCCACAAUAGAUUAGAGGUACUCGAGUUCAUGAAAACUUACAAAUUUAGACUCGAGACCUAAAAUGACCAUUUUACCCUUAUUGUGGAAAUUAUCAUUAUUUCUAUUUUCUUCGUUUAUUUCAUUAUUAUAUACCUUAUUCAUUUAUUCCUUAAGCCUACUUAGACCUUAAUUAUAUUAGAAAAACCCACUUCUAGGAGCUUACCAAAAAAACGACAGAACUACCCCUAAUCCACGUCAUCGUGUCUACCUCUGCUACUGUCAAUUAAAUUCCUACUACGCAAGUAUACGUAUCGAAUACAUAGUAUAUUAACAAGUAGGGUAUCGAUCCCAUAAGGAAUUAAUCUAAAAUUUUACUAAGUACUAAAAUUAGAACAAUUUAAUCUUAUCCAAAUAAUCAAAAUUAAUUAAUUAACUAAAACUAAUUAACUAAAAUUAAAACCAACAAGAAAAAUCAAAAUAUUAACUUGAGAAAAUAUCAAAUCAACAAACCUAGGAUUACAAUAUCCCUCACACUUCAUCUAAAUCCUAUCUCUUUUCCUUAACUUAUUUCAAUGGGUUGAAUUGCUAACCUAGAGUCCUAAAUUAUUUAUAAGGGUCUCCCGACUCAUUUUAUAAAAAUAUCUAUUUUAAUAAAAACACUAUAUCCUUAUGUGAAUUGAAAUUAAAACAAACUCAUUAAGUUCAGGUUCUAAUCUUGCUACAUAUGGCCUAUAGGUAUAUCCCUAUCCUACACGCAAAUCAAUUAAUAUAAUCAUAUGCUAUCCCAAUUUUAGUCUACACUAAACUCCCUUUCCCAAGUUUGCUUAGGUUCCUAAAUCAAUUAAUUGGUGGCUAGACAAUUAAAAGCAUUAAGAACAAAUUGAAAUAAAUAAUUAAAAUCCCAUUAAAAAUAAGCAAGAAAGAGAUUAAAAAUUUAGACUACAUGUGAGUUCAAUUGCAUUCCUAGAAAAAGAAAUUUAGCUACUCAUAAUUGCAAAAUAAAAUAACAUUAUAAUAAAUUUAACCAUUAAAAGUAACAAGAGAAUUAAAAGCUAAGGAAAACACAAAACAAUUAUUGCCGACUUGAUCUCCAAGUUUCAGCCUCAACUUCUAGUUUUUUGAAUCUCUCAAAAGUUCCUCCUCCUAAUGUUGCUAAACAUAUCCUAUUUAUAUUAAUAAACUUAACCUAAAAUUCCUUAAGCUAAGGUUUAAUUUGGGCAUAAAAGUGUAAUGAGAGGCCCAAAAAUCAAUUGUCCAUCUUUACAAAUUUCCAUUCCCGAUACAAUAUGUUCAACCAUUUUUCGACGUGAUUUUCUCUAUCUUCGAAGCAGAACUGGGCAAAGUGAUCUUCAUGAAAGUUUUAGCUCUGUCUCUUAGCUAUUGGUCUAAGAAUUAUAUCAUUUGGAGUUCUAUAACUUGAGAUAUGGCCAAAAUAUCGAAGUAUAUGCAAGCAGAUUCUGGGUCUUUCAACACUUUACUUUCCAAAAUUAAGCCCAAUCACUUUUAAUCCUAUAAAAGAAAUAUAAAAACUAACAAAUGAUAACCAAAUUAAAAAGAAUAAUAUAAAAUUAAAAUAACUAGCUUAAAAGUAGCCUAAUUAUAAAACAAACUAAAAAUAAGUAAAUUAUAAUUGAAAAUUGAAGACUUAGCUAAUAUUUAAUAACAAAAUUGGAAUAAAAUAAUUCUAUAAAAUAGAAUUAUCACACCCUCAAACUUAAGAUUUUGCUAGUCCUUGAGCAAAAGAAAAUUUUAAAAAGAAAACUGAAUCAUAAAAAAUCUUUAAACAAGAGAUAGAAAUACCAAAUCAUGAUUUCUCAAUUUUUCCUCAGAAAUUAACUCUAAUUCCAACUUAAGGUAACAUACAACUAAUCUUUAAAUUCAUGCAUCAAUUCAAGUGAAACUUAUUUUUUCAAAUGGACUUCCUGUGUGUGUCUGAAUGCUCUCUUACAAAGAAUCAUGCAAUUUAGAUUAGUUUUAUGUCAACUCUAAGCAUAGAUUAGUACUAGGAUCCCAUAGGUUUACUUUUCAUUUCUCUCUCCACUAAUGUAGAUUAACACUUAUUCAAGGAUCAAUAGGUCUUUAUCAAGCUUGUAAUGUAAAGCUAGGGUCAAGGUAUGAUAAAGGAUAUAUUUAGGCUCAAAUUCACCCUAAGCACUUAAUCAAUCUAGAUCAUAUAAAGAGCUCAAAAAUUAUUUUUUUCUGUAUAGCACCCCCAAACUUGAAGUAAACUUUCCUUUGUACAACACACUUUAUUUCUUUUCUUUUCUCUUUUUUUCAACCCCCAAACUUAUUUUUGACAAUUAUAGACUAGGGGUAAUUUUACUAACAACCUUCACUUUUUGUGUUUUGUUUUUUUUUCAGACCUUUCUCUAUCAAUUUAUCUUUAAGCUCAAAUUUUUUUUCACACCUUUCUCCCUCAAUUUAUCUUUAAGCUCAAAUCAUUCUUUAGAACGAUUAACAUACUUAGAGGGUGAAAGGUUCAAAUUGCUGGAAUUAAAUAAACAGGCCAAGGCUAAUAUAACUGUGUAAUUACAAAGAAAAGGUAAAUUAGGCUUAAAAAGGGUGACUAAGGAUAAAUAUAACAAGGUAGGCUCAAACGAUCCAAAGAUGGCCUAAAUCACUUCCUAUCCUAAGUGUUAUCUAAGAUUUCGCCUCGAGAGAGAAUCAAACAAAUUUUAGAAUUCUUGACUCCACUAGACUUUUUCAUCAAUAUAAAAUUUCUCUAAAUCACACAUAAAUUCUAAGUAGAAGAGUAUAGUGCUUCAAAUUAUUGAAAGUCACAUUCUAAAAUAAAGCUAACACAAGAAUAUCACAUAAAAUUAAAUCCUAACUAUAUGCUUCCCAAAAGCAAAGAAUCAAAAGAUAAUUAAAAUAUCAUCCUAGGAUUGGGACAAUCAAGAAUAAGAUAUACCUAUCUCAAUUUUUUUUCAACACAACAAAACAUGCAAAACACAAAUAAAACAUGUAAAUAAACUAACAAAAUUCUAAACUAUUCCCCCAAACUUAGAAUGAACAUUGUCCUCAAUGUGAUAAAAGAAAAUAAAAGAAAAAGGACAAGAAUACUCCACUACUCGAAACUGCAGUCUGCAUGUCCUCCACAUGGCCACCACCCAUCAUCAACUCUCAGCAACAAAGCAUUCAUCAAUUAGAUAUGCAGCAAAUGAAAAGUUCAUGAAUCCAUUAUAUGGGUAACAAGAAAUUGGCACUAAUCUUCAAAAUUUUCAGCACUCUAAGCAUUAAUCAUGAGGAAGUCUGAAAAACUUAGGAGUGCAGGAUUUCAAAAAAAAUUAAAAAAAUCCAAGUAGAAAGAAAAUGCAAAAAUUUGGAGUGAAAAAAGGAAGAUAGAGGAACGCAAGAGAUUGGCAAGAUGAGGAAUAAUGGGAGUAGGGAUGGUAGUCAAAGAAGAAGAAGAGUGACAAAAGAAGAAAAGAAAAAGAAAAAAAUAUAUAAAUAAAAAAAUAAAAAAGAUUUUCAAAGCAAAAUUUUUUUUUUCACCCGAAGCUUUACACUUCGGGCUUGAGCGCCGCGGCUCUCAGGGUUGAGCGGGGCUACGCUUAACUUUUCUGCCAAUCGUUGUUUGUUUAGCAUCGCGGCACUCCAAAUGAGGCCAGCGACGUUGAAACAUUCUGUUUCAGUGACUAAUUGUUGCUUCAUCCAGCGUCACGGCUCUCCCUUUAAGGGCCGCGAUGCUGAAACAUUUUGUUUCAUGCUGCAGCGCUUAUUUCUUUUUUUUUUUACCAAUUACUUGCAAAAGGAAUCAAAAGACAAAAAAAAUUAAUAAAUCAAAAAAAAUAAAUUCUAACUAAACUAAAAACAAUUUUAAAAAAUAAAAAAUAAGUAAAGUUUAGAAACUUAGGUUACCUCCCAAGAAGCGCUCGUUUGUAGUCACUAGCUUGACUAUAGUGCCCCCUUUUUCAGUUCUUCAUCCUCGAAAUAUCGUCUAAGGCUCAUCCCAUUAACCAUGGUUGUUUCUGUAUCCUCACUAUAAAUCUCAAUUAUUCCACAAGGAUAAGCCUUUACUACUUUGAAAGGACCCCACCAUCUUUCUUUGCGUUUCCAUGGAAAAAGCUUGAAGUAUGAUCUAGAAAGCAGCAUUACUUGUUGUCCAAUCUCGAAAGGACGAUUAGAUGGUGGUGAAAGAUGCUCCGUUGGUGAUUGCUCAGCUCUCACAGGCCGAGGUGGUGGCUUAAACUCAAAGAUUGGUGCUUGCUCACUUAUAGGUGGAGAAUUAGGUUCACCUUUUCCUUUAUCAAUUAGCUCCACUCUAUAGCAACAAUUUGUAGAGCUAGGAUGUUUAUUUGCAUUGAAAAUAUUAAACUCAACUACCUCUUCUCCAAUUUUAAAAGUUAUCUUGCCUUCCCUCACAUCAAUGAUUGCGCCUGCGGUAGCCAAGAAUGGUCGUCCCAAGAUUAAAGGAAUUUCUUGAUCUUCUUCCAUCUCAAGCACAAUGAAGUCCACCAGAAUGUAAAGAUGCCCAACUUUAACCAAUAUAUCCUCAAUAAUCCCAACAGGAUACCUGAUUGUUCAUCUACUAAUUGCAAAGAAACUGUGGCAGGUUGUAUCUCUUUAAGUCCAAUUUUCUCGGCAGUUGACAAUGGUAUGAUUGAAACGCUUGUACCCAAAUCACAUAAAGCUUUAGUAAAUUUAAAUCUACCAAUAGUACAAGGUAUAGAAAAACUCCUUGGAUUUUUAAGUUUUGGUGGAAGCUUGUUCUGAAUUAUUGCGCUACACUCCUCAGUAAGUGCCACUGUUUCAAAAUCUUCAAGUUUCCUCUUCUUAGUUAAGAUAUCUUUCAGGAAUUUGACAUAACUUGGCAUGUUUUCCAAAGCUUAAGCAAAAGGGAUGUUUAUGUGGAGUUUCUUGAAAACAUUAAGGAAUUUCUCAAACUGUUUAUCAAGCCUUUGCUUUUUCAACCUUUGUGGGAAUGGUGGUGGAGGGUAAUUUGCUUCAAAAUUCCCUUGAUUUUUAGCUUGCCCAUUAUCUGCCUUUCCCACUGCAACUUAUUUCUCAACAAUCGCCUUGUCAUCAUCUAGAUACUCCUUUGAAGAUUCAAUUGAUUUUUCAUUCACCCCUUCAACUUCUUUUCCACUCCGAAGUGUAACUGCAUUAUAAUGUUCCUUACCUUUGGGAUUGACUUGUGUAUCACUUGGUAAGGCACCUUGGGGUCUAAUGUUUAUGGAGUUUGCAAGCUGUCCCAUUUGGGUCUCUAGAUUUCUCAAGGAGGCUCCAUAGCUCUAAAUUAUGGCAUCAGUCUUGGACAUAUAUUGCAAGAUAAGUUCUUCCACUUGGGACUUCUUUUCAAGAAUUGGUGGUCUAGAUUAUUGUUGAAAACUAGGAGGCAUGUUGGGGUUUGAAUUGGAAGGCCCUGCAUUGUUGUUCCAUGAAAAGUUGGGGUGGUUUCUCCAACUAGGAUUGUAUGUAUUAGAGUAUGGGUUAUUCUGUUGCUUGUUGAAGUUCCCCACAAAUUGGACUGAUGUAGAAUUGUAUGAACAUUGAUCACUGGAAUGGCCAUCUCCACACAUCUCACCAACUACACAUGAAUUUUGAAUUGCAUGGACUCCUAGUGUGUCAAUUUUCUUGAACAAUGCAGUCACUUGUGCAGCUAAGUUGCCAAUUGCAUCAAUUUCAUAUGCUCCAACAGCUUUUCUCGAACCCGACCUUUCUGAAGGCCAUUGAUAAUUAUUUGAAGCCAUCUCUUCCAACAAAUUAUAAGCGUCUACAGCAUUCUUACUCAUCGAUGCCCCACCAACAGCAGCAUCAAUUGUGGUUUUAAUUGACCCAACCAGCCCAUUGUAGAAUGUCUGAACUUGCAACCAAUCAGGAAUCCCAUGAUGUGGACAUAUUCGCAGUAGUUCUUUAAACCUUUCCCAAGCUUCAUACAAGGACUCAAAAUUGUGUGAAUGAGGUGAUGUCGUUCCUCAACUUUGCAGUCUUUGUAGGCGGAAAUAACUUUGUGAGAAACUUUUGAGCCAAGUCCUCCCAUGUAGUGAUAGACCCAUUGGGCAGUGAAUUAAGCCAGCUUUUUGCUUUAUCUCUCAAAGAGAAUGGAAACAGUCUCAACCUAAUAGCAUCAUCAGUUACUCUAUUGUAUUUAAAGGUAUCACAAAUCUCCAAAAAAUUAACUAAAUGAGCAUUAGGAUCAUCAUUGGGUAAUCCACCAAACUGGACCGAAGACUGGAUCAUCUUAAUGUAAGCUGGUUUAAUUUCGAAAUUAUUUGCAUUGAUAGAAGGUCUCCUAAUACUUUGGUGCAAACCUUGCAACAAAGGAACUGCAUAAUCUCGCAAUGCUCUAGUUGCUUCGGGAUCUAGAUUAAUGGCAUUAUUUCCAUUAUUAUUGUUAUCCUCAGCCAUUGUCUAAUUUAAAGUUGCAACUUGCAAAUUCUCCCUUCGAUGUCUUUUAAAAGUUCUUUCUAUCUCAAGAUCAAAAGGAACAAGAUUCAAGUUCUCUCUUCUUUGCAUACAAUGACCAAAGAUAUCUGCAAGCAAACAAAAUCUAAAAUUAAAACAAGAAAAAUAAAAUUUGAAGUAAAACCAAAUUGCUUGGUAUUAGUAUUAGUAAAAAGUCUAGAAACAAUUCCCCGACAACGACACCAAAAACUUGUCAAUUAAAAUCCUACACGCAAGUUUACGUAUCGAAUAGAUAGUAUAUUAGUAAGCAAGGUAUCGAUCCCACAGGGAAUUAAUCUAAAAUUUUACUAAAUACUAAAAUUAGAACAAUUUAAUCUUAUCCAAAUAAUCAAAAUUAAUUAAUUAACUAAAACUAAUUAACUAAAAUUAAAACCAACAAGAAAAAUCAAAAUAUUAACUUGAGAAAAUAUCAAAUCAACAAACCUAGGAUUACAAUAUCCCUCACACUUCAUCUAAAUCCUAUCUCUCUUCAUUAACUUAUUUCAAAGGGUUGAAUUGCUAACCUAGAGUCCUAAAUUAUUUAUAAAGGUCUCCCGACUCAUCUUAUAAAAAUAUCUAUUUUAACCAAAACACUAUAUCCCUAUGUGAAUUGAAAUUAAAACAGACUCAUUAAGUUCAAGUUCUAAUCUGGCUACAUAUGGCCUAUAGGUAUAUCCCUAUCCUACAUGCAAAUCAAUUAAUAUGAUCAUAUGCUAUCCCAAUUUUAGUCUGCACUAAACUCCCUUUCCCAAGUUUGCUUAGGUUCCUAUAUCAAUUUAAUUGGUGGCCAGACAAUUAAAAGCAUUAAGAACAAAUUGAAAUAAACAAUUAAAAUCCCAUUAAAAAUAAGCAAGAAAGAGAUUAAAAAUUUAGACUACAUGUGAGUUCAAUUGCAUUCCUAGAAAAAAAAAAUUUAGCUACUCAUAAUUGCAAAAUAAAAUAACAUUAUAAUAAAUUUAACCAUUGAAACGAACAAGAAAAUUAAAAGUUAAGGAAAACACAAAACAAUUAUUGCCGACUUGAUCUCCAAGUUUCAGCUUCAACUUCUAGUUUCUUGAAUCUCUCAAAAGUUCCUUCUCCUAAUGUUGCUAAACAUAUCCUAUUUAUACUAAUAAACUUAACCUAAAGUUCCUUAAGCUAGGUUUUAAUUUGGGCUUAAAAGUGUAAUGAGAGGCCCAAAAAUCAAUUGUCCAUCUUUACAAAUUUCCAUUCCCAAUACAGUACGUUCAGCCAUUUUCCUACGUGAUUUUAUCUAUCUUCAAGGCAAAACUGGGCAAAGUGAUCUUGAUCAAAGUUGUAUCUCUGUCUCUUAGCUUUCAACUGGUUUAAGAAUCACAUCAUUUGAAGUUCUAUAGCUUGAGAUAUGACCAAAAUACCGAAGUAUAUGCAAGCAGAUUCUGGGUCUUUCAACACCUUACUUUCCAAAAUUAAGCCCAAUCACUUUUAAUCCUACAAAAGGAAUAUAAAAACUAAUAAAUGAUAACCAAAUUAAAAAGAAUAAUAUAAAAUUAAAAUAACUAACUUAAAAGUAGCUUAAUUGUAAAAACAACUAAAAAUAAGUAAAUUAUAAUUGAAAAUUGAAGACUUAGCUAAUAUUUAGUAACAAAAUUGGAAUAAAAUAAUUCUUUAAAAUAAAAUUAUCAGCUACACGUCUAUGAAGGUCGAGGCUUCACAGAUGUUGAGGUGGUCUCUAAGGUGGUGGACAGCGUGGAAUCGAAAAAAAACUAUAGCUGGCAGCCGACAACUUGUGGGCAUAAAAUCGAUUCAUAAUUUCAACAUCCAACAAUGCUUUACAUUGCAAGAUUUCUUCAUUUUUAUCCCAACGUACACCCACUUUCUUGCACAAGGUGGUGAUCAAUGAUGGAUACCAAAGUCUAUCACACAGCAAGCGGUUAGCUUGAACAAUACUGUUGAAUAUCAAUUGGCCCACAUUGAUUGACAUUCUAGAAAUAAUGGCAUAUAACAAGAUAGCUCAAUCCCUUGUGAUGUCACUAAUAUGUUUCACAGGAAGUAAUCUAGUAAACAAAAAGUGAUACCAUAGCUUAUGAACUGUCUUCAUGGUACUAGCCUUAAAAGACACAGGUAUGCCUUUUGUCAUUUUCCAUUCCCCCCCUCAUCACAAAGUACACCAAGAACCCCAUCCAAAUCAAUGUUGCCCGUUAAGAACUGGCCAUAGUCAUCAUGUUCAAUAUCAAGUUAUAAAAUUGAUUGAUGGUGGCAUUAUCAAAACGAACUUGAUAGCCUCGUACAAACACUUGGCCAUGAACAUGUUUAGCGGCAUUGGCGUAGAAUAUUAUAAACCCUUGGUAAGACAGCGGCCUUAGGUUGGUCACAAAAUUUCUCCCAUUGCCACCUAGUGAUGACCUUAUGAACAAAACUAUAUAGCUCAAGAUUGAGAUCAAUGCCACUUUCCUGAAUAAGGACUUUAUGCACAAGGAAUUGCAUAUGUCUCUCAAUGGCAUCAGUAGACACAAAUUUACUGUGAUCAAAUCGAGUCUUACUACCACUCUUGUGAGUUCUUUUCUUUGGUGCCAUCCCGCUCACGCAAAUAGAAAAUACUUCCUCCUAAAACAAGCCACCACAAUCCAAGUAAAUUACCCAUUCAAUUAUAUUUUAUUAUUAGGAAACAAAAACAACACCUCCCACAAGUUCUAUGCCCUGUCAAAUAUUGAUAGUCAUCCUUCAUCCUCAACAACAAUGAAAUGCAGCACAAAUUGAUUAGAAAGAAAAAAAAAUCCAACACAUCUAGUUUAAACUAGCAUUACUUCAAGCAACCCAUUCCUAACUAACAAAUUGACAAAAGAAGGGAAAAAUUAACUUACUUGGUUGAAGAAUACAGAAAAUGUGGAGAAUGAAUGGAAGGACAACCUUACUCUUCACAAAAAAAAAUUGGUGAAAUUUAAAAAUACUGGGUGGGUGUAAAGUGGGUGGAAAGGGAAGGAAGAAAUCUAAAGGUUAGAGAGAAAAGGGAGCCCUAAAAUAUGAAGAAAGGGUGAGAGAAAGGAAAAUCAGGGUUUUUCUUUAAAGCCCCGUGACAUAGUGCCGUGACGCUCCUUUCUGGCAUCGUAAUGGCCUUUUCUUGAGUUUUUGUACAAGAGGGGGCCUGAUGCACUACAACUUGGCGUUGGGUUCAUGGCUCUGCAACGUCAUUUUUUUUAAUUUACUUACCUCAUGAGAGUCCAUAGCUACAACAAUCGAAUAAAUAACAAUCAAUUAACGAGGAAGGAAAUAUAAAAUUGACACAUUAAAAUUUCAAAUUGACUCGAAUUAAAAAAAUACUAAGAUAAAUGAUGUUGAGAAACUUGAGGUGCCUCCUAAGAAGCACUUCGUUUAGGGUCAUUGCUAGAUCAAUGUGGAGUUCAUUUGGUGUCAAAGAGAUGGAUGGACGAUCAGUGUUGAUCAAUAAGUCCACCUAGUAGUGCUUUAAUCGUUGUCCAUUCACCUUGAACAUCUCAUUGGUCAACCCAUCAAUUAUUUCCAUUGCUGCAUGUGGAAACACUUUUGACAUAUUAAAAGGUUUGAACCAUCUUGAUUCCAAUUUUCCUAGAAAUAACUUCAAUCGUGAAUUAAACACCAAAACUUGCUGACUUGGCUCAAAAUGGCACUCGAUAAUCUUUUGAUCAUGCCAUCUCUUCGUCUUUUUCUUUUACAAUUUGGCAUUCUCAUAAGCAUUUAAGCAAAUUUCAUCCAUCUAAUUUAAUUAAAGCAAUCUUUUCUCACCUGCUGCUUUUAAAUCGAAAUUUAAUUUCUUGAUGGCCCAAAAUGCACUAUGCUCUAAUUCAACUGGGAGUGACACGCUUUUCCAAACACAAACUAAUAUGGGGACAUACCUAUUGGAGUUUUGUAAGUUGUCCAAUACGCCCACAAUGCAUCAUCAAGUCUACUAGCUCAGUCUUUUUGUGACAAUGAUACCAUUUUCUCAAGAAUUCUUUUGAUUUCCUAAUUUGAUACUUCCACUUGUCUGCUCGUCUGAGGGUGAUAAGUUGUGGUUACCUUGUGUGACACUCCAUACUUUAUGAGUAACGUUGUAAAAUAUUUAUUGCAAAAAUGACUUCUUCAUCACUCAAUAGCUCUUGGUGUAUCAAAUUUGGUGAAAAUGUUUGUCUUUAAAAAUUUCAUCACCACCUUAAUAAUGUUUGUAGGGAAGACUGAGGCUUCUACCCAUUUUGACACAUAAUAGACAGCCACCUAAAUGUAUCGAUUGUUGAAUGACGAUAUGAAUGGUCCCAUGAAAUUGAUUCCCAAACAUAAAAAAUUUCCACUUCCAAAAUGCUGUUAAGCGAGAUUUCAUGUCUUCUGAAAAUGUUUCCCAUUCUUUGACAUCUGUCACAAUGCAACAUAAAGUUAUGAGCGUUUUUGAAUAAUGUUGGCCAAUACAAACCUUAUUGAAGAACUUUGGCCGUUGUUCUAUCACCUCCAAAAUGACCCCCAUUUUUAUAUGAGUGACAAUGUCUCGACACAUUUUCAACUUCUUCCUCUGGAAUACACCUUCUUAUAAUUCUGUUAGCACAUUUCUUCAACAAAAAUGGUUCAUCCCAUAGAUAAAAUUUAACAUCAUGCAAAAAUUUCUUUUUUUGAUGAAAAGUUAAAUUUAGAGGUAGAAGCUUACUCACAAUGAAGUUGACAUAGUCAACAUACCAUGGUAAUUUCUUAUGACCAACAUGUAACAAUUGUUCAUCAGGGAAAGUUUCGUUGAUCAAAGUCACAUCUUUACCUUGGUUGUCAUGCUCUAGCACAAAUAGUUGGCUACUUGAUUUUCUGAACCUUUUAUGUCUCUGAUUUCUAAAUCAAAUUCUUAUAACAGCAGAACCCAUCUUAUUAACCUUGGCUUGGCAUCUUUUUUAGCAAUCAAAUACUUAAUUGCAUAAUGGUUAGUAUAAACAAUAACUUUAGUGCUAAUCAAAUAUGAGCAAAAUUUGUCAAAUGCAUACACAAUAGCUAAUAAUUCUAUCUUAGUGGUAAUGUAGUGCAUUAGAGUUUCAAUCAAGGUUUUACUUGCAUAAUAUAUAGAAUGAAAAAUUUUAUUCUUUCUCUAUCCUAACACUGCACCUACAACCUUGUCACUAGCAUCACAAAUAAGUUCAAAUAAGAGUGACCAAUCAGGAACUACAAUAAUAGGUGUAAUUGUCAACCUUUUUUCAGUUUCUAUAAAUGUAGCAUGACAUGCAUCAUCAAAUUUAAAUGGGAUGUCUUCUUCUAAAAGAUUGCACAAAGGUUUAGCAAUUUUGGAAAAAUCCUUAAUGAAUCGUCAAUAAAAACCAACAUGUCCAAGGAAACUCUAAGUAUCUUUUACCAAGGUUGGUGGUGGACGCUUUUCAAUGGUCUCAAUCUUAGCUUUGUCUACCUCUAAUCCUUUGCUCGACACCUUGUGACCAAGAACAAUGCCUUCUUGUACCAUAAAAUGGCACUUCUCCCAAUUUAAAACUAGGAUCGUCUCCUCACAUCUUUGCAAUACCCUAUCUAGAUUGAGCAAACAUUCAUCAAAAUUAUUGCCAAAGACAGAGAAAUCAUCCAUAAAUGCCUUUAUGGUUUUCUCCACCAUAUCCUAGAAGAUAAACAUCAUGCAUUGUUGAAACGUGACCAAAGCAUUACACAAUCUAAAUGGCAUCCUUUUAAAUGCAAAAACACCAUAAGGAUAUGUGAAAGUUGUUUUCUCUUGAUCUUUUGGUGCUAUGGAAAUUUGAUUAUAACUUGAGUAUCCAUCCAAGAAACAGUAAUACUCUCUUCUAGCUAACCUUUCCAACAUUUAGUUAAUGAAAGAUAAAGGAAAAUGAUAUUUCCUUGUGACCUUGUUUAGCUUUCUGUAAUCCACGCAUACUCUCUAUCCCAUGACUAUUCGUUUGGGAAUGAGCUCAUUGUUUUCGUUAGCCACCACUAUCAUCCCACCUUUUUUUGGUACGCAUUACACCAAGCUUACCCAUUCACAAUCUAAAAUAGGAUAAAUGAUGCCAGCAUCUAAGCCACUUGAUUAUUUCUUUCUUGACUACUUCUUUCAUAAUUAGAUUCAAUCUCAUCGAUGCUCAAUAGUGGCUUUGUGAUUAUCCUCUAACAAAAUUUUAUGCAUGCAUAUUGAAGGACUUAUCCCCUUGAUAUCAACUAUUGACCACCCCAAUGCCUUUUUUGUCCUCUUUCAAAACUCUAAGUAACUUUUCUUCCUGUUUAUUAUUAAGAUCAGAUGCAACAAUAAUUGGAAGAGUACAUGAGUUUCCAAGAUAUGCAUACCUCCAAUGUUUUGGCAAUGGCUUCAGUUCUAACUCAGGGGGAUCCUCAAUUAAAGGUUUCACUGGUGAGGAUGAAUAUGAAGACAAAUCUAACAGUUCAAACCGAGUUCCCAAUAACAGAGACAGGGCAUUCAAUGCAUUAACACAUUUUAUAAUUUCUUCAUUACUAGUCUCAAUUUAGAAAUCAAUGAUGCUUCAAGUAAGUCAUUAGGAUGAUUUUCCAUAAAGACUUCACUUGUGGCCCUAUCUACCACAGUAAUUGCAAAACACUCAUCAUGAUCAUUAAUGAACUUUAAAGCACAAAAGAUAUUCAAUGUUACCUCUUGAUCUUAUAGUUGCAAGGUAAGUUCUCCCUUUUCAACUUCAAUGAGUUCUCUGGCUGUGCGUAAAAAAGGUCUCCCAAGGAUAACAAGAACCUCUUUAUCUUCCUUCAUAUCAAGAACUAUAAAAUCAGUUGGGAUAUGAAUUUAUCCACUUUCACAAGCACAUCUUCCACUAUGCCUCUUGGAUAUAUGAGAGUUCUAUCUAUUAAUUGAAGAGUUAUAAUGGUGGGCUUGAUUUCCCCCAAACCCAAAUUGUUGUAGAUUAACAAUGGCAUCAAAUUAAUACUCGCCCCUAAAUCACUUAAAACCUUAGCAAAGAAUAAGGCACCAAUUGUACAUGGAACAGUAAAACUGUCUAGGUCUUUAAGUUUUUGAGGAAGCUUAUUCUAAAUGAUUGCACUACGCUCCUCAAUGAGUGCUACUGUCUUAAACUCACCCAAUCUCCUUUUCUUGGAUAAAAUGUCCUUCAGAAAUUUUACAUAGGAUGGCAUUUGCUCUAGUGCCUCUGUAAAUGGAAUGGUGAUGUGAAGCUUUUUAAAUAAGUUCAUAAAUUUCUAAAACUUUCUUUUUAUUGCUUCUUAAAAUGUUGAGGAAAAGGUGGUGUUGGUGCAGUUGCCUUAGUCACUUCUAUUAGACAUUGAUCACUAGACCUUGAAAUUUGAGUCUUAUUCUCCCCAAUUUUGUCUUGUUGUGCAACUUCUUAUGGUUUACUUUCAACUUCCUUUCCACUUCUUAAAUUGAUGGCCUUGACAUGCUUUUUUCCCUCUCUCCUCGGAUUGGCCUCUAUAUCACUAGGUAAUGUUCCUUGAGCUUGGUUGUGCAAUAAAUUGGUAAGUUGACCAACUUGAGUCUUAAGGUUUCGAAGUGAGGCUGCUUGAUUUUGGAUGAUAGUUGUUUGACUUUGUAUGUUGCCAUCAUUUUGUGUCAUAUAUUGCCUUAACAAAUCUUCAAUAGUUGGCUUCUUUUAUGAAAGAGGUGCUUUGACUUGCUAUUGGAAUCUCAGAGGUGCAUUCGGCCAUGAAGUUGAUGACACCCCUUGAUUGUGAGCCCAAGAGAUAUUUGGAUGAUUCCUCCACCUUGGGUUGCAAGUGUUAGAGUAAAGGUUAUUUUGCUAUCUCUUCCCCAUAAAUUGCAUUGUUUUUGUUGAGGUUGGACACUAAUGAGUGGCAUGAUUAUCUCCAUAAUACUCAUAAGCUAUAAAAGGACUUUGCACAAAGUUAGUACUAAAAGAUUUAAGAGUUGUAGUUAGAGUUGUUAUCUGAGCAAAUAGUGCUGACAUGGCAUCUACAUCAUGAAUUCCAACUACUCUCUUAUGCAUUGAUUGUUCCAUUGGCCAUGUUUGCAAAUAUCUCUUCUAAUAAAUCAUAUGUCUUAUUUAUCGAUUCAGUCAUUAAAGCUCCUUUCACAACAGCACCAAUAAUGGUUUGGACCUGCCCACUCAAACCAUUGUAAAAAGUUUGCACCUAAAGCCACUUUGGAAAACCAUGAUGAAGACAACGCCGAAGUAAUUCUUUAUAUCUUUCUCAAGCUUCGAACAACUAUUUAGAAUCUUGCUACAUAAAUGAUGUAAUAUCAUUCCUAAUUUUUGCUAUCUUAGUUGGAGGAAAAAACUUGGCAAGGAACUUCUAAACAAGAUCAUCCCAUUUUGUUAUUAAGCCAGUGGGGAGUGCAUUCAGCCAUGCUUUAACGUUAUCCCUCAAUGAGAAAGGAAAAAGACUCAAACAAAUUGUAUCAUCUGUGACACUAUUCUAUUUGAAAGUGUCACUAAUCUCCAAGAAGUUUGAUAUAUGGCCAUUUGGAUUAUCAUUUGGAAGGCCCCUAAAUUGGACUGAGGUUUGAAUCAUGGUGAUGAUAGCUGACUUGAUCUCAAAAUUGUUUGCUUGAAUAGUUGGCCUUCAAAUGCUCGAUGGAAUUUCAUGUACCAACGGAGCAACAUUGUCACGACCUAAAUUUUCGGGCCAUGAUCUACGCAAGAGCCCAAUAAACGUAGCCUAUUAAGCCCAAGCAAGCCUAUCUAUUUAUUCUACUCAUCAUUCCAUCAAAUAUCACUAAGUCAUAUUUCAUACUUUUGAAUCAAAAUAGUGAUAUACAUUGCCAACUCGUACUGGCAUUACUCCUUAAAAAUUUACAUACAAUGUCUACAACAUGUAUUCUAAUAAUUUACAUUAAGUUUGUCUAUACAAAACAAAAUAACACUCGACUUCCAGNNNNNNNNNNNNNNNNNNNNNNNNNNNNNNNNNNNNNNNNNNNNNNNNNNNNNNNNNNNNNNNNNNNNNNNNNNNNNNNNNNNNNNNNNNNNNNNNNNNNNNNNNNNNNNNNNNNNNNNNNNNNNNNNNNNNNNNNNNNNNNNNNNNNNNNNNNNNNNNNNNNNNNNNNNNNNNNNNNNNNNNNNNNNNNNNNNNNNNNNNNNNNNNNNNNNNNNNNNNNNNNNNNNNNNNNNNNNNNNNNNNNNNNNNNNNNNNNNNNNNNNNNNNNNNNNNNNNNNNNNNNNNNNNNNNNNNNNNNNNNNNNNNNNNNNNNNNNNNNNNNNNNNNNNNNNNNNNNNNNNNNNNNNNNNNNNNNNNNNNNNNNNNNNNNNNNNNNNNNNNNNNNNNNNNNNNNNNNNNNNNNNNNNNNNNNNNNNNNNNNNNNNNNNNNNNNNNNNNNNNNNNNNNNNNNNNNNNNNNNNNNNNNNNNNNNNNNNNNNNNNNNNNNNNNNNNNNNNNNNNNNNNNNNNNNNNNNNNNNNNNNNNNNNNNNNNNNNNNNNNNNNNNNNNNNNNNNNNNNNNNNNNNNNNNNNNNNNNNNNNNNNNNNNNNNNNNNNNNNNNNNNNNNNNNNNNNNNNNNNNNNNNNNNNNNNNNNNNNNNNNNNNNNNNNNNNNNNNNNNNNNNNNNNNNNNNNNNNNNNNNNNNNNNNNNNNNNNNNNNNNNNNNNNNNNNNNNNNNNNNNNNNNNNNNNNNNNNNNNNNNNNNNNNNNNNNNNNNNNNNNNNNNNNNNNNNNNNNNNNNNNNNNNNNNNNNNNNNNNNNNNNNNNNNNNNNNNNNNNNNNNNNNNNNNNNNNNNNNNNNNNNNNNNNNNNNNNNNNNNNNNNNNNNNNNNNNNNNNNNNNNNNNNNNNNNNNNNNNNNNNNNNNNNNNNNNNNNNNNNNNNNNNNNNNNNNNNNNNNNNNNNNNNNNNNNNNNNNNNNNNNNNNNNNNNNNNNNNNNNNNNNNNNNNNNNNNNNNNNNNNNNNNNNNNNNNNNNNNNNNNNNNNNNNNNNNNNNNNNNNNNNNNNNNNNNNNNNNNNNNNNNNNNNNNNNNNNNNNNNNNNNNNNNNNNNNNNNNNNNNNNNNNNNNNNNNNNNNNNNNNNNNNNNNNNNNNNNNNNNNNNNNNNNNNNNNNNNNNNNNNNNNNNNNNNNNNNNNNNNNNNNNNNNNNNNNNNNNNNNNNNNNNNNNNNNNNNNNNNNNNNNNNNNNNNNNNNNNNNNNNNNNNNNNNNNNNNNNNNNNNNNNNNNNNNNNNNNNNNNNNNNNNNNNNNNNNNNNNNNNGCUUCCUUAAAACCUAGGAUCACAUUAACAUAAACAAUAGAUCAAUUUACACACUAUGACCCCUAAAAGCUAUCUCUAAACUAGCUUUCAAUUGCCACAUUAAAUGGCCAUCUAUGUUCACUAUCUUAAUCACUAAAAGUAAUGAACAUAAUCAAUAAUAAAACAGCUCAUAAAUCCCAAUUACUAGCCAUUUUCUGCAGCUAAAAACCAAGCUUAAUUCAUCACUUACCCUAAGGCUCCUUUGUAGUCAAAUUCUCUUCUAAUUGCUUCCAAAUCAGUGGGGUAAUUCUCUCUUUCUCUCUCUAAAAUGCCCAACUAGUGAGAGAAAGCAUGAAAACCAUAUUUUUGAAGGGUUUUAAAGUGAGAGGAUGAAAGAGCAUAAGGGUUUAUGGAAGAGUACACCAAAAGCAUGAAAUUUGGAGCUAGAAAGAGAAAGUUAUGGAAGCUUGAAGAAAACUCCCAUGGAAGAAUUGAAGAAACGUGAGAGAGGAGAAGGGAAGAAGAAGACAGCUGUUGGAAAUUUCAAGAAGCUGCUGGAAAUUCAAGAUAUUUAUAGGCCAAAUUUAUCCAUUCCCAUAAAAUUACCAAUUUGCCCUUUCACCAAUUAACUUACUCUCCUCCAAUCUUUUAUGAAAUCUUUUUGCUCCUUUAACACAGGGACAAAGUCCAUAAUUGUCUAGACAUGUUCAAGUUCAUAAAAACUUAAAAUUUUAACCCGAGGUGAAAAAUGACCAUUUUGCCCCUACCAUGAAAAUCGUCAAAAUUUUGGUUUCCUUUCCAUUUUACCCCUAAUUUCACCAUCCAUUUAUGCCUUAAGCCUACUUAGGCCAUAAUAUUGUUUAAAACUUACUUUUGGGAGCUUAUUAGAGAAAAUGACGAAACUACCCUUGGCUCGUAUUAUUACAUCUAUGCUUGGUUACAAGCCUAUAGAGGUUGGGGUCUCACAAACAUAAUCCCCUAACCAAUGAUUUUCAGCUACUAUGCGCACUUGGAUUUGCUGUUCACCUUGUUGAUCAGCCAUUGUAUUUAUUGGAGCAACACCUUGUUGAUUGUUAUGUCGAAGUCUACGAAAUGUUCUCUUAAUUUCUAGAUCACACGGCAUAGUCUUCAAGUUGUUUGCUCUUUUCAUACAACGACUGAACACUUACAAAACAAAGAAAUAAAACUUAAAGUAAGACUAAUAUGUGAAAUUUUAAUAUUAACAAAUAAUAAAAAAACAAAAUCCCUAACAACAGUGCCAAAAACUUGUUGUAAGUUUGCACAUGUAAGUAUACAUAUCGAACAAGUAAUAUAGACAAAAAGUCCAAAUUAUCGUUCCCACGAGGAUUUGUUUCUAAAGUUUCACUAAGUACUAAAAUUAUAUAACAAAUUAAUCUUAUUUAAGCUAAUUGAUAAUUGAAAAACUAAUCAAAGACAAUCAAAACUAAAUAAUAAGUUAACCAGCAAAAACUAAAUAUGUUGAGAAAAGUAGCAGAUUAAAGACAUAGGAUCAUUGGUUUAUUCAAUAUUUCAUCUUAUACUAGCUUUUCUUGUUAUUGAUCUUUUUUUGGUGAUUUUACUAAUCUAGAAUCCAAAGGUAUGGACAAAUCUCCAUCGAGAUGCUUGUACAAAUACCUAACUUAAUCAGUUCACUAUAUGUCUAUAGGAAUCAAUUAAAUUAAGUUCAUUAAGCAAGUGUCCUAAUUUAGCUAUGUAUGGCAAUUGGCAUAUAUCUACCCGAAUCGCAAAUCAGAUCGCCAAAGUGAUGUGAACAUACACUAUUCAAAUCUUAGUCCAACCUAAAAUCUCAAUGUCGGUUUCUAAUUAGAUUCAUGAAUCAAUUAAUUGUUAAUUAGGCAAUUCAAGGCAUUAAGAAUAUAUUUGAAUAAGUAAAACAAUACCCAUUCAUGAUAAAUAACAAAAAAAAAAAACAAGUAUUCAGACUACAUGUUGAAAUCCACCAUAAUACUAGAUAACCAAAUUAUUUCAUAAUAUCUAGAUAAAACACUAUCCAAAGAAAUUUAGCCAUGAAUUUAAAACAAAAAAAAAAAAGAAACAUAAAAAGAGAGAAAUAAACUAAUGUUGAACCCUGGCUGAUUACGAAACUCUCUCAAUUGCUCUUGAAUUCUUGAUUGAUUAGUAUCUCCAAUUCUCUAAAAAAGCUGUUGUUGUCUCUCUCUUUGAAUACUCUCAAAAAACCUCAUAAAUAUGUGCAAGAUGCCCUACUUUCCAAUUUUCGAUCAAAAUUUUAAUUUUAGAAGUCAGAGUGGUACUGCGGCCAUGACUUCUUGGCACCGCGGCACUAUGACAAGCUUUGGUAGCACCACGACACUCCUUUUUGGUUCUGCGACGCCAUGCUAUCAACCUUCAGUAUGAUGCACCCAUCCAGCCCAACACCAUGAUCAUAAGCUUCUAACAAUGCGGGGUGGUCCUUUCAGCAUCACUGCCUUGAGUAACUCAGCAUCACAGCCUCAAGCACCAUGUUACCUUAUGUGCAGUCUGCAAUUGCCUAUCAUCUUCAAAUGUGAUUUUCACCUCUAUCUAUUCUAAACUUUGCAAAGUGGUAAACAUAAAAUUAUAUCCCAUUCCCUUAACUUUAAAUUACGACAUGUACGUGUGACACGUUCACCAUACUUAUGCUAUCAUAACUCAAUUUCACCUUGCUCAUCACAUAUCCUGGACAAAAACCAUGAAAGAAUUGCAUUAACUCUUCUUAAAGUAAAUUAAAAACAAAAUAAAGUAAAAUUAAACUAAAAUAACUUAAUUUAACUAUUCAACAUGUAAUCUAACUUACAUUAGAAAAACACUUAAAAUGCUAAAAUCUGAACCUAAAACUCUAAGGUCUAGCUACUAAAGCCCCCAAAAUGUGUUAAAAAUAACUAUAUAUAAUAGAGUUAUCAAUUUGAAAAUUGUGAUUCUGAAAUAUUUUGCAAUGAAAAUUGUUUUGAUCAAAAUUUUUGAGCCUUAAAACUCCACAACAUAAUGGAGUUGUUAAAAAAAUGGGCCUUUGAAGAAAAUGGCAAGAACAAUGCUUUGUGAAAACAAUUUGCCAAAAUAUUUUAUGGCUAAAGCUGUAAAUACAGCUUUUUUAUUUUAAAUAAACCAAUGAUUUCAAAAACUCUUUAUGAGCUUUACAAAGGAAGAAAACCAAACAUUGCACAUUUAAGGAAUUUUGGAUGCAAAUGCUUUAUUUUAAAUAAUGAAAACACACCUUGGGAAAGUUUGAUGUUAAGAGUGAUGAAGUUGUUUUCUUAGGUUAUGCAAUAAACUCUAAACCUUAUAAAUUGUUUAACAAAAAAACAUUAGUUGUAGAAGAAUUUAUUCAUGUUGUUUUUUAUGAGACUAAUGUUGCACUAAGAAAAGUAAUGCGUGAUGAUGAUGCAAAUGUUAUUGAGGAGAAAAUGGAAAAGAUGAACUUGGAGAACAAAGAAGAUGAUGAAGACAACUCCAAAAAAUGAAAUGAAGAAAAACCACCAUUGAAGGACUUGUAAAGAAUUGAAGAAUAGUAUAAUGAUCUUCUUAGAACUUAAAAAUUUGUAUGAAAUCAUCCUUAAGAGAAAAUAAUUAAAGAUCCCUUUGAAGGUGUCAAAACCAAAAGAGGACUAAAAGAAGCUUGUGAAUUUGUGGCAUAUAUAUCACACAUGGAACCCCAAGGAUUUUGAGGAAGCAAAAAAGGAAGAGAGUUGGAUGAUAACCAUGCAAGAAGAACUUGGCCAAUCUGAAAGGAACAAGGUAAGGUUAGUUGCUCAAGGUUACAGUCAAGAGAAAGGUAUUGAUUACAAUGAAACUUUUGCUCCUGUAGCUAGAUUAGAAGCAACUAUAUUUUUGCUUGCAUAUGCAUGUUACAUGAAUUUCAAAUUGUUCCAAAUAAAUGUUAAAAAUGCAUUUCUAAAUUAUCUUAUCCAAUAAGAGGUAUAUGUGAAACAGCCCCCUAGUUUUGGUGAUUUUGAGGAGAUUGAUCAAUUUUAUUAAUUGUAUAAAGCAUUACAUGGAUUGAAGUGAGCUCUUAAAGCUGGGUAUGAAAGACAUUGAAAAAAUUUGACUGAAAAAGGAUUUUUUUAAAAGGAGUGUAGAUACUACACUUUUUAUUAAGAAAAGCAAAAAUGAUUUACUUGUUCAAAUAUAUGUGAAUGAUAUAGUCUUCAGUGCUAUUAAUGAAAAGUUGUGUGAGAAUUUUGCUAAAGAAAUGCAGGGUGAGUUUUAAAUGCACAUGAUAGGAGAAUUAUGUUUCUUCCUUGGUCAACAAAUCAAGCAAUGUGAGAAUGAGAUGUUAAUCAACCAAGCUAAAUACACUAAGGAGAUGCUGAAAAAGUUUGGUAUGAUGAAUGUGAAAUUAGUUAGAACACCUAUGAUCUCCUCUACAAAGCUUGAUAGAAAUGAGAAAGGAAAUGAUGUGGACCAAAAACUCUAUAAAGGUAUGAUUGGUUCACUUUUUUAUUUAACAGAAAGUCCUGAUAUAUUGUUUAGUAUGUGCUUAUGUGCAAGAUUUCAAUCAUGUCCUAAAGAUCACGCUUAACUAUUGUAAAAAGGAUAUUUAAAUACCUCUUGGAUACCCAAGACUUAGGUUUAUUGUAUCUAAAAAAUGUCAUCUUUUGAACUUUUUGGCUGUUUCGAUAUUGAUUUUGCUAGCAGCGAAGUAGAUCAGAAUAGUACUAAUUGUACUUGUCAAUUUCUUGGAACCAUGCUUAUAUCUUUAUCUUGUAAGAAACAAAAUUCAGUUGCUCUUUCAAGUACUGAAGUUGAAUAUAUUUGAGUAGGUAGUUGUUGCGCACAAAUUUUAAGGAUUAGGAAAUAAUUAAAUGACUUUGGCAUGUUCAUGCAUAAUAUUCCUAUCUUUUGUAACAAUACUAGUGCCAUUAACAUCUCAAAUAUUCUUGUUUAAAACUAAGCAUAUUGAGAUUAGACAUCACUUUAUUAAAGAUCAUAUGCUUAAAGGAGAUGUUAAAAUUGAAUUUGUUCAUACCUUGCAUCAAUUAGCUUAUAUUUUCACCAAAACCUUGAGUGAAGACCAAUUUUGUAAAUUUAAAAGAGAAUUAGGAAUGCUUGAUGAGCAUGAACUUGGAUUGAAUUGCUUUGAAUAUGUUUUUAAUGAAUUCUCAUAUCUAUUGUGUAUUAAUUUCUUAUUCUGAUCAAUUAAAAGUGGCUUUUCAGUACUUACGAGAGCUUAACUGAUUAAAAUCAUGUUUUCAUCAAUUAAACUUGUUCUAGAAUAAAGGAUGUUCCAUUUAAUCAAUUAAAAAGUCUUUUAAUUGAUUAAUUUGUUUCUGGUCAAAAGUGGAUUUGGAACUCAAAACCUGUCCAUUUUGGCUUUAGAGCACUCAAAAGUCGACUAAAUAUCCAUGGAUUCCACUUUUUAUCAUUCCAAUAACAUUGUUUGAAUUUUGUUCUCCAAUAGGCGACUAGCUAUGAUAAAGAGUCAAUUAUGCUUGAUUCUUGCAUAUUGAAAAGCCAGAAAAAGGUGCAAAACAUGCAAUGUUCUAAGGCAUAAUGAUCUCAAAACAUGGAUUUGUGUGAGAAUAAUUUAGAAUUUCAUUUCAACCAUAUUUAGAACAUCAUUUUGGACAUGUAUAAUCAAAGAUUCUUCAAGAAAAAACAUGUGAACUCAAAUUUUGGCUUAUAUUGUUCAUUGUUCACAAAUGCUAAAAAGUUGAAAUGCUCAUUUGAAGAAUCAUGUCUCUAAUAUGCUCAAACAUAUUCAAUUUACAUCAUGAUGCGUGACUAUGGCUUAUAACAUGUACAAAAAUCAUUUAAACAAUGUUUAAGCAUAAUUAGCAUCAAAUUUAACAUUUUUAACAAUUUUCCGGCAUAUGAACAAAAAUGCCCUUGUGGUUGUUCAAGCACUCCUUUGCAACAAGAACAAGACAUAAUGGCACUUUCAAUAUAAAGCAUUCUUGUUCAAGCUUUAUAUCAUUGAAAUCAUUGUAGCCUCAAGCAUUACAAGAAGGUUUGUACUUUGCUUAAAAUAUCAUCAAUGUCAAAUUAUCAUACUCAUGAUUAUACUUAAGAAAACUCUUUCAAUCUAUUUUAUAAAUCAUGAGAGAAAUAUCAAGCAAAAUGGGAUUUAUGCAAUUCAUGUAUCAAAUCAAUUUUGCUCAACCAUGCUAUAUCAUCAAAAACAAUAAAUCAAUUUCAAUCAAAGAAAAUGAAAAGAUUUUGCAAGAAAAUCAAUUGAUAAAGGUUUAAUCUUUCGUUACAAACUUUUCAACUUGAAACGUUCAAGAUUAAACAUGCUUUGUGAAAAAUCAUGAGCUCAAUAUCACUCAAUUUUGUUCAUUUACGCUUGAAAUGAUUUAUGAAAUGUGUAAUAAGCAUAAUGAAUCAUGUUUAUGCAUGUCAAGGGUCAUUUGCAAAUAUCUCACAAUUAUUUUCCAAAAAUGCCCUUAUGACCAUUCAAGUUUACAAGCAAGCAUGCACAUCCAAUAAGAACAAGUAAUAAGUAUUUUCAUUAUGAAACAAACUUAUUCAAUUCAUAAAUCAUUCUAAACUUAAAGGAUGGCAACAUUUUUCUCAUAUAAGCUCAUUUUGCUUUAAAAGUACCAAUCAAAGUAGUCAAAACUUUCAAGCUCAUUAUCAACCAUCUUGAAGCAAGUUCUAGAAUGUAGAUCAAGAUUGUUCAAAUGGUCAACUUAUGUUAGGCACAAGAAAAUCAAGGACAAUUUUUCAACUCAAUUUUCCAUGUUUUAGGCUACUUGAAUAGGUGUGAGUGUAAGUCAUCACGUAUGCUCAUAUUUUUAUCACAUUAUGCAACCUUUUAGGUUUCAAAAUUAUGCUCAAAAAUCAUUUUUCCUCAAAGAAGUAGUAUGGAAACAAUUUCACAAAACAUGAGGAAAUUUUAUAGAAACAAUCUUCCAUAAUCAAGCAAUCUUGAUAAAACAAUUUUCUCAAAAUAAGAAUGAUAAUAUAUUCAAGUUCAAAUAUAAGUACAUACUCAAUCAUUAGAUUCUUACUUCCUUGCAACUUAUAGUAUGUAUCAUAUCAAAUCAAGUUGCAUAGCCAAGAUUUAUCAAUAAAGCUCAAAGAAUUAUGCACUUAAUAUUCAAGCAAGAAUAGGCAACCAAAGUUUUCAAUUAAGAAAAGCAAACCAUUUUAGAAAUCAAGCUAAAUCAAUGAAACAUUCAAUAAAUAAACAAUCAAAAUUCUCAUUUAAACAAACAAAAGGCUUUUAGCUUAGAGAUCACCCAUUUUCCUUUAUGUGUAACUAGAGAGCAUUCAUUCUUUAAGAAUUGUUCUUCCUUGCUCUAGCACACCUACAAGAGACAUUUUUCAUUUGAUUUUUGGUAUCCAAAUUGCUUUGGAUCCUUGAAAGUUAUUGUCACAGCCUAAAUUUUGAGCUAUGACUGGCGCAUGGGCCGAAUAGGCAUAGACCACUAAACCCAAGCAAGCCUAUUUAUACAAUCCCGAUCAUUAAUCCCAACCAUCAUUUCUAAAACCACAUAUUGCAAUUCUUAAUUAUAAAUAUUUCAAUAACGUUUUAUAGCAAUCCAAUAUUCACAUUUGUAUUAUGCUAACAUAGUAUCACUCAUUUGCCACCUUACAGUGGCAUCAGUAAUCAAAUAUACAUAUUUGAUUUUUAACAUGAAUCUUAGUGGUCUUCAUUACUUAUACAUGUAGACAAGCAUAAGACUCUUGACCGUUAGCGGAGUGACCAUGGAUGAAGGACAGCUACUGAGAUGCCAUAGUACUUACCAAAAGGAUGAGCAUAUGUAGACACUCAAUCUAGGUCCCAACUGUCUUCGAAUCUGAAAACAUGAAAUUUAAAAAUGUGAGUAUAAAACUCAGUGAGUGAACAUAAAAAGGGAACAAGCAAUCGAUAGGAAGAAUUUGGAAAUCACGAUGCACUUGUUUCAAAAACAAUGCAAUUGAUUUAAUUUCUUACUAGAACCCCUUCAUUUCAAACUUUGAUCAAUAACCUCAUAGUAUUGCAAAAACUCAUGAUCAAUCCAUGAAGUUAAAUGGGUGAAAAAUAUGUCAAAAUCAAGCAAGGUAGCAAGCAUGGCAGCAAAUUUCUCAUUAUAGCGAGAAAUAAUCUUAGUUUGCAUAUGUUUGAGUUUUUCUAUCAUAUCUCCCACUGCAAAAGUCCAAUUGACCUAAUUUUUCAACCAUUAGAAAUAUAAGAGGUAGGCCUACAACUUUGAUGUUUACUACUUUUCCCAUUUCGAAUGAGAAGGUAGUUAAAAUCUUCAUCAAAAUGAAAGCAUUGCAUCAAAACUUGAGAGUUUCUCGCUGCAAUGAGAUUUAUUCUCGCUGCAGCGAGAAUCAAGCCAGUGUGACCCCCAAAACUCGAGAGUUUCUUGUUGCAGCGAAAUUGAAUCUUGCUAUUUAUUCUCGCUGCAGUGAAAAUCAAGCCAGUGUGACCCCCAAAACUCGAGAGUUUCUCGCUGCAGAGAAAAUGAAUCUCGCUGCAGCGAGAAACAGAGCAUUUUAAUUGAAAUGGGUCUUGUUACAUCAAAAGCCAUUUUCUUGUUGAAAUGAAAAACAAUUUGAGAGCAAUUAACAAUGCCAACUUGGAGCACAAUCACAAAUAUUUUCAUAACUUUCUAUAACACACACAUAUAUAUACAUAUGCAUUCAUCAUCAUGUGUGCACUCCCUACUCACACACUUCAACAUCAUCAUGUGUGCACUCCCUACUCGCACACUCUAACAUCAUCAUGUGUGCACUCUCUACUCGCACACUUCAACAUCCUCACACAACAUUAUUCAUCAAUGCACAAUGUAUAUUCAUAUACAUACAUACUAGCAUAAUAUAAUAGCACAUGGAUUCAUCCUUUUACACAUUUCACAUUUUCACAACAUCAAAGCAUUUUAUCAAAGGCUUGUUCCCUGGCACAUAUUUUUAAACAAAGGUUGAAUAAAAUCAUUCAAAUGUUUCAUCCAAAUACAUUUACAUCUCCCAAAGCAAAUUUUGAAAUGCAAGUUCACUCAUCGGUCUUGUUGAUUCUUUUGCUUGACUCUAACCUCAACUAAUACUCCAAAUGGACAUGUGAGGCCUUGUUGUAACCUAUACAUACAAAACAUCACAACCAACCCAAAUUGGCAAUAAUAUUGUCAAGAACCAAAUUUCGGGCCAUGACCAACGCAUGGGCCCAAUGGAUGUAGUCCACUAAGCCCAAGCAAGCCUAUUAAUAUGACCUGUUCAUCAUUCCAUCAAAAUUUGCUAGGUCACAUUUCAUAACUUUGAAUCAAAAUAAUACUAAGCAUUGCCAACUCAUAGUGGCAUGCCAAUUAAAGUGUACAUAUAUUGUCUCAACAUAUAUUUUAAUAAUUUACAUUGGUUUAUCUAUACACAACAAAAGAGCACUUGACUUCCAGCGGAGAGACCUGGGCGACGUACAGCUAUUGAAUGUCGAGAUACCUACCAAAGAGACGAAUCACGAGGGCACCUCAACCUAGUUAUCGACUGCCUCUUGAUCCUGAAAACAUGAAGUUGAAAACGGUGAGUAUAAACUCAGUGAGUGAACAUAAGAAGGGAACAAGCAACGAGAAGGAAGGUUUAAAGAAAUCAUGAUGCAUUUAUUUUCAAAACAAUGCAAUUUAGUUUCAUUCUUAUUAAAAAACCCCUCGUUAAACCCUUAAAUGGUUAAUCCCUUUAAAUGGCUAAUCAUUCGAUAAUGAUGAAUCCAUACAUAACAAAGAAUUUGAAGAAUGAAAGCUUCAAUGAUAUACAAGCAAGUUAAAUGAAACGUUGGGUCCUCACUGUAGCAGAAAGGCAUUCUCGCUGCAGUGAAAUUUGAGCUCAAGUUAUUAACUGGACGAGGGUUUCUCUCUAAAAUUCCUCAUUUCAAACUUAAUUAGAUAAUCCCCUAAAUGUUGGGAGUCCAUGCUCAACUAUGGUGUAAAUGAAAUGGAAAAGUAUGGCAAAAACCAGCAAGAUAGCAUAUCGGACAGAACGUUUCUCGCUACAACGAGAUUCUUUCUUGCUGUAGCAAAAUUCAAGUGGCCAAAACAGAAUGUUUCUCGCUGCAGCGAAAUUCAAGUGGCCAAAACAGAAUGUUUUUCGCUGUAGUGAGAAGCUCUAGAAAUUUUCUCGCUGUGGAGAGAAUCAGGUCAGGCAGACCCCUCAAACUUGAGAGUUUCUUGCUGCAGCGAGAAUAAUUCUUGCUGCAGCGAGAAACAAGGCACCAAAGAAAAGUUUCCAUUCUCUCAAGAAUAAGGCCAUCUUGCUGAAAUGACAAAAUCAACAUGAAACACUUAAAAAUUCCCAAAGUUCAACAUGCCAAAUUUUCAUAUGCAUUACAAUCAUAUACCAUAUUCAUGAGCUUUUAUUUCAUAAACAUAUAUAUACAUAUAUACAUAGAAAAACACCAAUACCACCAUCGUCUCACCCAGCUCAUGUGCAUCCCCCCACAUUGUGCACAUAGCCGGGGUCAUCGUGUGCAUCCCCUCACAUCGUGCACAAUUAGUGUCAUCGUGUGCAUCCCCCCACAUCGUGCACACGGGCACUUUCAUCAUCCAACUCCCUCAACACCGUCAUCACCGGCAUGUGCAUUCCCCCACAUCGUGCACACGCACGGUCAUCAUUAUCACACAAUAUCAACCAUCAAUGCACAACAUAUAUAUAUAUAUAUAUAUAUAUAUCAACAUAAUGUAGUAGUACAAGAAUCCAUAAUAGCCAUAUGCCACAUAUAGAGACAAUUUAUCAAAGGCUCGUUCCUAAGGCACCCGUUUUUAAGAAAAGUUGGAUAAAAUCAUUCAAAGGUUUUGUGCAAAUACAUUCAAAUGCAAGUUCACUCACCGAUAUUUUGUUGAACCUUUAGUCGACUCUAACUUCCCUAAUAGUCCAAAUGGGGCGAUGGGGCUUCGUUGGAACCUAUCAUCACAUUAGCAUCACCAUUAUGUCAAUUCACAUACUUAUAAAUUCUAAAAGCUAUCUCUUAGCUAGCUUCCAAUUGCCAUUUAAAUGGCUAUCUAUUUUCACUAUCCUAAUCACUCCAAAGUGAAUGAACAACAGCAACAAUAAAACACUCACAAAUCUAACUACUAGACAUUCUCAACACUUAAAUAUCAAUUCUAAUUCACUACUCACUUUGGUAGCUUUGUAAUUGAAAUUCUUUCCAAAAAAUUUCAAGCUAUCAUUGAAGCUCCCUCUUUUUGUCUUUAAAACACCUAGCUAGUGAGAGAAAGUAUGGAAGUAAGACUUAUCAAGGGUUUUAAAGUGAGAGAGUGAAAAAACACAUAGGUUCUAUGAAAGGGUGCACAAAAGCAUGAAAAUUGGAGCUAGUUUGAGAAAGGUUAUGGAGGUUUCAUAUCAAGCUUCCAUGGAGGAUGAAGAAACGUGAGAAGGAAGAAGGAAGGAGAAGAAGAAGCUGCUGAAAAUGUGAAAAGAAGCUGUUAGAAGCUGAUAUUUAUAACUCAAGCUUAUCCAACUUCACUUAAAUUACGAAAAUGCCCUUAACAAGCUAGCUUAUUCUUCUCCAAUCCUUUGUGCAAUCUUUUUACUCUUUUGACACUGAGGCCAGGUCCACAAGGGUCUAAAAAUACUCGAGUUUACAAAAACUUAAAAUUUUGACCCAAGAUGAAAAAUGACCAUUUUGCCCCUACCUCGAGAAUCAUCAUUAUUUUUAUUUCCUUCACCAUUUUACCCGUAUUUCAUCAUUCAUUUAUGCCUUGGGCCUACUUAGGCCAUAAUAUUGUUUAAAAACUUACUUUUAGGGACUUACUAAGGAAAUGACGAAACUACCCCUAGCUCGUGUUAUUGCGUCAUGCCUAGUUACGAGCUUAUAAAGGUCGAGGUCUCAUAAAUAUAAUCCAAAAGCUCUUUUCUAAUCAAGUUCCACUAGUUAUUCCUAACGAGCUUCCAAUUGCCAUUAAAUGGCUAGUUAUUCACACUACUUUAGUCACCCUAAGAGUGAAUAAACAACCUCAAUGAUAAACACUCACAAACCCUAUUGGUAGCCAUUAUCAACAACUAAAGAAAUUUAACCAUAACUUAUACUCACCUUGAUGGUCUUUGUAGUUGAAUUCUCUUUCAAAAUUCUUCAAGCUAACAAGGGAAAUCACUCUCUCUCUCUCUACAUGUCCAACUAGUGAGAAGAAAAUGGAAGUAAGACUUUUUUAAGGGUUUUAAGGUGAGAGAGUGAAAGAGCACAAAAGGUUCUAUGAAAAAGUGCUCAAAAGCAUGAAAUUGAAGCUAGAGAGAGAAAGUUAUGGAAGCUUUAAGGGAGGCUCCCAUGGAGAUGAAGAAACGUGAUAGGGGAAAGGAAGAAGAAAUGGCUAGAGGCUGCUGAAAAUUGCUGGAGCUUUAGAUAUUUGUAUCUAAAGUUUAUCAUUUCUCACAUAAAUUACCAAAAUGCCCUUAACAUGGUGACUUUGUCUUCCUCUCAUCCUUUGUGUAACUUUUUACUCUUUUGACACUAGGGCAAGGUCCAUAAUAGUCUAGAAAUACUCAAGUUCAUGAAAACAUAAAAAUUUAGACCCGAGCUACAAAAUGACUAUUUUGCCCCUACCAUGGAAAUUAUCAUUAUUUUUAUCUUCUUCAUUUAUUUACCAUCAUAAACAUCAUUUAUUCCUUCCUUAGGCCUAUUUAGACCUUAAUAGCAUCAAGAAAACCCACUCGUAAGAGCUCACCAAGAGAAAUUACGAAAUAACCCCUAGUCCGCAUUAUCACGUCUACUUCUAGUUAUGUGUCUAUAGAGAUCGAGAUUUCACAGGUUCACUUCUGAAUUAUCCUUUUUAACUUGGUAAUUAACCUCAAUUGGCAUCCGUAAACUUUAUUAGCCAUAGUAUCAAAAUAUGGGGUACUACAGUUAUUCUUGUUGUAUAAAGUUCCUUUUAGAACCCAUACUUGUCUAAAUUUAUAAGGUAAACAUUUUUUAAUUGGACAAGUGUAUGAAUAAUAACUAAAAAAUGUGCAAUGAUUGCAUUUGGUCAUUUUGGAAGAUGAAGAAUUCAUGAAAGCCUUUUGUUUCUCAUUUAAUAAAUCUUCAAAUUUUCUUUUCACAUCAAAAUUUUCUUUUUCCAAAAUAUCAAUUUUCUUUUGGUAAGCUUUAAAAUCUUUUUCCAAAUUUUCUUUUUCUUUUUCCAAGUCAAUUUUUACUUUCAUCAAAAAUUCAUUUUCAACAUCGAGUAUGGAAAUAAUUUUCUUGUGCUUUACAUUCAUUUUCUCAAACUAAAAUGCUAAAUCCUCAAAAGCAACAUGCAAUUCAUCAAAAGCAUAUGAAUUAAGUUCACAAAAUGAAGAAGUUACCUUUAUCUCUUCAAGAACCAUGAGGCAUAAUUCAAUUUGAUUUAAGGAUUUAUCUUCACUUGAUUCUUUGUGUGCAUUUGCCAUAUUGCUUGUUGAGCAUUGAUUCUCACAAGAGUUGUCUUCGAAUUCCUUUUGCUUCUUUAUUUCUCCAUAUAACUCUUCUAAUUUUUGUCAAAUUUCCUUGCCACUUUUGCACAUGAACACUUUAUCGUAUUCUCUAUAAUGAAGUGCACAAAAAAGAGUGUGCAUGGCCUAAGAGUUCGUUUGUACUUUCCUCAUUUCAGCUUCAAUCCAUUUAUUUCUUCUAUCUUUGGGAGUUUUCUCACCAUUUACAGAAUUUGUAAUCAUAGGAAUGAAAAGACCAUCGGUAAUGACAUCCCAUAUCUCAUAGUCAUAAGCCCUAAUAUAAAUGGACAUUCUAGUACUUUAAUAAGGAUAGUUUAAUCCAUCAAAUAGAUGAGGCAUAUUAAUGCAUUGAUCCUUAGCAUCAACAGAUUUUUCUAGAGCCAUUUGGAUCUCCCCUAAGGAUGUUAAGCCUUAAAAAUGAGGGUUAAGCUCUAAUACCACUUGUUGGUCCCAAAGAAUGUGCUAGAGGGAAGGUGAAUAGCACUUUUGGAAUGACACUAAAAUUUUUUCCAAGUAAAAAGCUGAUUAAAGGAAUUUAAAAAUGGAAAUUUAAAGCUUGCUAGAGGAAUGAUUCAAUUGCUGAGAGUAAGAAGAAAACAAAAGAAAGUAGACAAAACACAAUGAUUUAUAAUGGUUCGGUCCCCUUAACCUACAUCCACUACCUUGAUCUCCUAAUCAAGGAUUUUCAAACCAGUUCACUAAAAUCAAUGGAAUUCCCGAGCUUCCACCAAGUUUUUACAAUGGCUUUUCACAAGCUCAGCCACAACCUUUAACAAUGGUUUUUCACGAGAUCAACCAAAACCCAAAAUGGCUUUUCAAAGGCUCAACCACAACCUUUAACAAUGGUUUUUCAUGGGAUCAACCAAAAUCCAAAACUAACUUUUCUCAGGCUAAGUUAGAACCUACCACAACAACCAAGCUAACCCUACUUGAUCAACUCCUUAAAGUGGCUUGCACACUCUAAGUAAUCAAGAAAUGAAGAAAAGAUGAAGUACAAUUCAUCACCUAGCUAAUCUAAGAUGCACAAAGUUAAGCUCAAACACUUUUUCAAAGGAUAGGAGUGAAAUACAAGUGAAAAUAGAAGGUUUUUAGUCUUCUCAACUCAAAAUCACUUUGGAUAACUUCUCUAUAUUAUUUUUGACUGUUGGAGAGGCUUUAAAUACUUGCAAAAUCAAUUUUGGCCGUUGGAGACAAAAACUAGCCAUUUCUAGCUAUUAUUUUGUCCUUUUGUGCUUAAAUUCAAAUUUUCUAACAGAAUACUCUUAGUCGACUAACUAUGUUUCUUAGUCGAUUAAGUUGUCUCUAUUUUUAAACCCAGUCUCUAGCAGUAAGCUCUUAGUCAACUAACAAUGCUUCUUAGUCGAUUAAGUCAUCUUUGUUUUUGAACCUAGUUUUUAGCAAUAAGCUCUUAGUUGACUAACAAUGCUUCUUAAUCGAUUAAGUCGUCUCUGUUUCUGAACCGGCCAUCUUCAUUUUGAGUUUUAGUUGACUAUCUCCCUUGGUUAUCCGACUAAGAGGCUUCUGUUUGUAUCCAACACCCGCUUAAUUGAUUAAAUCUUGUGUUAACCAGUUAAGAUUAAUCUGUCUUCAUUAAAGCUCUUUCUUCUUUGCUUAUUUAACCAAUUAACCUAUCUUGCAACUGAACAAGCAUCUUGACUUGCUUUCAAAUACCAAAUAUAUUAAUGAAUUUAAGCUUUUUCCUACACACUCAAAUAAUAUAAUUAGACAUCAAUGAAUGGGAAUAUUUUGCUAUCGUAAAAAACAUACAAAGUCAACAUUCUCUAUCUCUUAUUUUUUAUGAUCACAAAACACUCCUAGAUUCAGAUUGCAAUGUCUAUAUUCAAUAUGAAUGCUUUAAAUCUUUAUGUGUAAUGAGUUGCUCCCCCUUAGUCAAUGCAUCUAGUUUUCUUUAGAUAAUAUUCAACAAAACCAAAACUAAGAAUCACACACAUAAAUUAAACAUGAAGUCUUUUAAACUCUAUUUAACUCAAUCUUCUUUCUCUCCUUUUUCUUUUUCAUCAUUAAACAAGAUAUUCAAAACUCCCCCUUAAUGAGUGCGUCUAGAUUUUCCUUUGAUCUUUAAGUCAGACUUUAAUGAAUGAGAAUCAUAAGCACUCAUACACUUUUAAUGAAUGAGAAUCAUAAGUACUCAUACACUUAAGUCAUACAAGCUUAUAGAUAUAGUUCAACUACUUCAAGAGUCAAGCUUGUGUCUAUGCAAAAACAAAUGUAUGGGAGUUAAAUCAUUUCAAGAAAUUAUCAAGGAUUACUCAAAUAAUGUUCAAGCAAAUUUGAUCAUUUUGUCAUAAUCAAAACUAUAAUAAUUUUAAAGUUAACACACUCAUAUUGAUAUUAUUAAUUCUUUUGUGCUAAAUUAACAAAUUUUGAAAACUGAGAAAUUGUUCAUGAGUGCUUGAUUUUUUUUUUAUUUUUCAUGUGCUUACAUUAAAAAAUCAUGUCUUGAGAAUUAAAAUGUUCAAAUGCUUAGUCUAGGAAUAAUUCUUGAAAUAUGUUUCAUGUUUGUACUUAACUGAUUGUUUCAAGAUUGAAUUAUUGCCUAGGCUCAUAAAAUUGAUUAAGAUGAAAUCAUUGAACUUUAUAAAAAAAAAAUUUCGUUCAUCUAUUGUUUUGGUCAAGUCAAAUGCUUACAUGACUUUUAAUCUUGAUUGACAUUAAUGAUUGAAGUCUAAAACUUGACUUAAGUAAUAGAAUUACUUAUGGUACAUAAUUUCAUAACUCAAGUCAAGUUUGAUUAUGACAUAUAUUGUGUUAACAUAGUUGAAAUCUUUUAAAUAUGAAUUUGAUUGUUAACUAUGUCUCUCACGGGCUUAAAUGAUUACAUAAUCUAAAGAUUUUGUGUACAUCCAACUUUAUCUAUAAAUAACUUUCAUGAUUAACGAACUUGAAUUAUUUUAGUGAGAUUAAGAGUAAUUCUAAGUUUAUUGGAGCUUGGAAUAUCUACGUCUAAAUGGAUUCCCCACUCACCUUUAUAGAAUUCAACUUGUUUAAGUUGGAAUGCAUGUUUUAUUUAAUUAUUUAAAUUUAUUUAAAAAAAUGGUAACUUUACAUAUUGUCUUAAUUAAUACAAGAGUUGUCUCAAUUUAGACAAAGUACAUAUGUUGUCUUAAUUAAGACAAUAGUUGUUUUAAUUUAGAUAGAAAUAUUUGUGUUGAUUGAAGAUAAGAGAUGUCUAAAUUAUAUUAUUUUAUUUUUGGUAAGUCAAAAAAUUGUCUUAAUGAAUAAGUAUUUUUUUAAAACAAGAGCUGUCUUAAAAUGAAAAAUAUUUAUUAAGAUAAUUAUUGUCUUGAGAUAAAAUAAUAUGGGAGGAUUUUAAUUAUAAUUAAAGAAUUAAAUAGUUUAUUCUUUAUUUACAAUUAAUUACAAUUUCUUGAUAAAUUAUAAGAGCCCAUGUUUGAUUAGAAUUUCUUCAUUUUAUUAUUAAUUUUUUUAAUUAAAGAUGGAUAAUAAUAAAAUAGAAUAUUUAUUUAAUAAGGAAUCAUAUUUUGACUUGGACAAAUAAUUAUAAUUAAAUAAAUAAAUUAUUGAUAUUUAAUUUUAAUUUUAAUUAUUAUUGGAGGAGUAUGGUACAACAAUAACAUUUUACAGAUGAGCAACUUGGACUCUUGAUAGCAAUUUAUUUUUAAUUAAAAAUAAAAAUAAAAGAAGAGUUCAUCAAGAAACAAAAUUAAAGGGUGGCUGUACCUUAUAAUAUAAAAAAGGGUAAAAGAAAAUUUCAUCAUCUUUUAAGGCCGAAACCUUAAGUCCAAAAAUUCCUCCAAGAAUCCUCCAUAGCCACCUUUUCUCUUUAGGUUCUUCUUGAUCUCCAAUCUAAGUAUAUUUUUCUAGAAACCUCUCACAAGAAAAACAACCAUAAAUUUAAAAAAGGAAAUGAGAGAAAUUCAAUUGUUACCAUCUUGAUUUAUUCCAUACCUUGUCUACUUAAGGUUCAAGCUGAAAGCCAUUCUUGAAGAAUAAGUGGUAACUUUAUUUCGUUGAGAAAUCGAUGGUGUGGUGGUGAAUUUAUUAUAAUUCACUAAGAGUCAAGAAUCAAGAAUCUUGUAAAGGAAAAACCUAUUUUAGUAAUUUGGGCAUAACUUUCUCUCUAGAGGUCCAAACGAUGUGAUUCUAAAGGCAUUGGACAGCUAAAAACAGAACUAUAAUUCUUAUGAUGACCAUAUUUCCCAGUUUGAAUGGGAUCAAGGAGAAAAAUUUGUCACUUGUUGCUAGUUAGUGGGAACCAAAUUUGAGGAACGAGAUCAAGGAAAGGUAUGUUCAUCAUUAUUUAUAGAUUCUUGAUUUUUAUAGAUGUGAUUACAUGAUUUUGCAAUAAGUGUGAUGUGUGAAUUCACUUGUGUAUUUGGAUUGCUUGCUUUUGUAGUUAGAAAAUUUUUGAAAUCCAUGGUUUACAUAAACACAUCUAUGCAUAAAGAUCCAAUCUCCAACAGUGACUCCCAUAGAGGCUCAUCAAGUAGGGAGCUUAAAAGAAUGAAACAAUGGUUGUUACACUCAACAUGAAUUUACUAUUAACUUACCUACAAUAGCUUUGUUAGUAUACUUCAUGCACCAAAUAAAGGUGCUUUUUAACCAUGUUAGGUAUGAAGAUAUGGGGUAACAUAGUUAAGUGGGAUGGUCCUAGUUACCUAGUAGUAAAUUCUCACAACCCACCAUCGCUUUAUUUAUCAUAAAAAAGUGAAUGACCACAGAACUAAUAAUAUAAUUUAUAGGGUUUUAUAUAUUAUCAUCAUGCAUGCAUUAAUCAAGAAUUGUUCGAAGUCCAUGUAUAACUAGUAUACUUAUAAAAUUUCAAAUGUACUUUUAGAAACAUAUUUGCAUGCAAACAUGAAUCCACUUUCCAUUUUGUUAAAUAAAUGUACUCUUGAAGGUGAUAACUAUAUUGAAUAGAAAAGGAACCAAAAUAUCGUCUUAAAUUAUGACAAAAUCACAUGGGUUCUUUCUAAGCAUGGGCCUAAACCACUUACUCCCAAAUCAACUCCAUAAGUGCUAUAUACUACUGAACAGCAUAUUGCAAAAGCAGCACAAGGGCAUAGGCUAAGUGCUAUAUGCUGCUGACAUGAUGUUGCACUUGCAUGUGAUGUUUAGUGCUAAAAUAAGGUCUGUUAAGGUAAAAGCAAUCAAUGCUUUUAAAGACCCUAAGUAGAAACUUGGGGAGCUAGUUAGGGAUUACAUGUUGAAAGUAAUCUCUUAUCUCAAUGAGGUAGCACUAUAUGGUGUUGAGAUAAUUACAGAAAUGCAAAUAUCCAUGAUCGUUCAUAGCCUAAAUUCAUCUUUUUCACAGUUCAAAUUGGAUUAUGAACUGCACAUUAGGGAUUACACCCUAAGUGGGCUAAUGAAUUAUUUGCAAAAUAUGGAAAAGUUUCUUGAAUUGAAAAAGAAACCAAAACCACAUGCAGUUUCCACUUCUAAGCCCAAACCCAAAGGUAAAAAGAAGAAAGCUAGAGAUAAAAAUAGUGUAAAAGGCUCAAUGGGAGUUAAGAAAAAGCCCAUGAAGAAGUUUACUUCAAAAGACAACACCCAGGGAAAGUGUUUCAACUGUGGUGAGAAAGGACAUUAAAAGUGAAAUUGCAAGGUUUACCUUGGAAUCCAAAAGAGUGAACAAGGUAUGGGUUUUCUAAAUGUAAUAGAAGCUUGUUUGGUGGUUUAUUCUAUAAAUACAUAGAUAGUAGAUUCUGAAGCCAUAAACCACGUUUGUUAUUCUCUGCAGGGUUUCAACAAAGGACAAAACUAACUUAAGGGUAGUUUCAAAUGAGGAUGGCAAUUGGCACUCAUUCAGCAAAAGUGAUGGGAGCCAUCGCUCUUCAAUUUCCUUAUGGUCGUAGUUUAUUUUGGGAAAAUGUUUCUUACAUUCCAAAGACUUAUAAAAAUUUAAAUUUUGUUUUUUGUUUAAUAAAGUCUAUAUAUUCAGUUUACUUUUUGUUAGAUAAAUAAGCUUAAAGUAAAGUAACCAAAAAGGGAGCUGAAUUGGUUAUCAAAUAAAAAUUUUCCUUUUUUGAAAUUUCAACAUAGCUAAAGUACAAAGAACGGAGUUAUAAAAAUAGAGUAUAAGCUAAGUAAGUAAACUGUAAAAAAGGAAAGAGUACCCAGCCAAGCUUUUAUUGAGGUUUGACCAUUGAUGCUUACGUCUUCUCCCUUGAUAGCACAAGGAGUUCGAAUCCACUAUCAACUUACCUUUUAACACGAGAUCAGGCGUAACUUUUACAAUAAAAUGCCUUUUGUCAAACCCUGUUCUAUAAAAUAAUUACGACGUCAUUUACAUGCUCAAUAGAAUGUUUACAGAUUUAGAGAGUUUGAGAAAUCGUUAAAAGACGAUAUUGCCCCUAAUGGUACCAUUGAGUCGAUUAAGCCUCGAACUAGUUCAAAUAGGAAUUUUAAGGUGAAAUUAAGAGUUUCACAAUUCAUGGAUGACUCAAAAUGGUAAUUCGGAGUUCGAGGAUCAAUUUGGAGUCAAACCAGAAUUUUCACUAUCUAGGGGUAAAAUGGUCAUUUGCCACUUGGGGACCAAAUGGGAAUUUUUAGAAAAGAUUUGUUUUGGUCCAUUUGACUUAUUGGAGUAUGAUUUAAGUAUUGGAAUAUGAUUUGAAGUUUAGAAGUGAAAAAUUUUAAUUCCUAUAUAAUUUGGAGUAUAAGGGUGAAAUGGUAAUUUUGCCACCUCGGGGGCAAAUCGGUAAAUUUUCACCCCCGACACUUGUCAAGACCAAGGGAUUUUAUUCAUCAUGGAAAUGGAUAAACAUGAGAAAUGUGUGGUGGAGAAUUAAAAAAUUAAAAGUCAAAUAUUUAAAAUUUGAGCCAAUAAGGAAAUGCCAUGUGUCGUGUUUUUAUUAUUUUAUUAUUUCUUUAUAAAANNNNNNNNNNNNNNNNNNNNNNNNNNNNNNNNNNNNNNNNNNNNNNNNNNNNNNNNNNNNNNNNNNNNNNNNNNNNNNNNNNNNNNNNNNNNNNNNNNNNNNNNNNNNNNNNNNNNNNNNNNNNNNNNNNNNNNNNNNNNNNNNNNNNNNNNNNNNNNNNNNNNNNNNNNNNNNNNNNNNNNNNNNNNNNNNNNNNNNNNNNNNNNNNNNNNNNNNNNNNNNNNNNNNNNNNNNNNNNNNNNNNNNNNNNNNNNNNNNNNNNNNNNNNNNNNNNNNNNNNNNNNNNNNNNNNNNNNNNNNNNNNNNNNNNNNNNNNNNNNNNNNNNNNNNNNNNNNNNNNNNNNNNNNNNNNNNNNNNNNNNNNNNNNNNNNNNNNNNNNNNNNNNNNNNNNNNNNNNNNNNNNNNNNNNNNNNNNNNNNNNNNNNNNNNNNNNNNNNNNNNNNNNNNNNNNNNNNNNNNNNNNNNNNNNNNNNNNNNNNNNNNNNNNNNNNNNNNNNNNNNNNNNNNNNNNNNNNNNNNNNNNNNNNNNNNNNNNNNNNNNNNNNNNNNNNNNNNNNNNNNNNNNNNNNNNNNNNNNNNNNNNNNNNNNNNNNNNNNNNNNNNNNNNNNNNNNNNNNNNNNNNNNNNNNNNNNNNNNNNNNNNNNNNNNNNNNNNNNNNNNNNNNNNNNNNNNNNNNNNNNNNNNNNNNNNNNNNNNNNNNNNNNNNNNNNNNNNNNNNNNNNNNNNNNNNNNNNNNNNNNNNNNNNNNNNNNNNNNNNNNNNNNNNNNNNNNNNNNNNNNNNNNNNNNNNNNNNNNNNNNNNNNNNAAAUUUAAUAAUGAUUUCAAAAAUAGAGUAAUUGGAGACCUAUACUAUGAUUGUGUUGUUUAUCCAUGAUUUUACAUUAAAUGGCUUAUGAUAAAUGUGGGUAUGACUGGUUAUUUUUAUGAUUUUAAGAAUAUGUGAACUGUGUGUUAAGUGAGCCAUGUCAUACUAUUGUGAUUUUAUUGGUUGGUGGAUUAUAAAGUGGGCACUACAGUGACAGAGGUUCCGUGGGCCAGCCUAAUUAGAGGGGCAUGGUUCCCAAUUAUUGAGCUUACCUCGAUUGGAGAGGCGCGUAGGAUAACUCUCGAGGUAGGAUUUGAGUACACUUCACGCUGGCCACCACGUGAAACUGGGAUUCAGCCAACACCGAGGAAUGGCUGUGUUGUCAGAGGUGAAAUGUGUUUGUGUGUGUGACAAUAAACAACCUUGGCGGGGUAUCCCUGUGAAUGGAUUUUUGACAAGGGCCAAGUUUUUGAAAAGUGCAUAAGCCAUGUUGAGUAAUUGGAUGAAAUCCAAUUAUUUAUAUGGGUUGGGAUGAAUUAUUUUAAUUGUCUCCUAUUACUCGGCUUUAGAUUAUUUUGAUGAUGUCUGUCUACUCACUCGAAUUUUAUAAUCUCACCCCUUCUUCCUAUCCAUUUUUCAGGCUCAGAAUAAUUUGUUAAUAGUUGAUUAAGACGAGAAUUAAUCUCGGAGUUGCAUCUUAGAAAGUAAGGGUUCGUAACCCUACAUUUUCUUAGUCAGUUGGGGGCCAACGUGUCACUGUAAAAGUAAUUUUAUUCUUCAGUUAUUUAAUUUAAAGUAUGUAUGAAUAUAUUUAGCUUUUACACCAUGUUUUUGGCGAGUUUCGGUAUUUUCGAAGAAAAAUAAUAAAAAUGCCCCUGUAAGCCAGAAAGUAAUAUUUUAUUGUUUUGAUUUGGAAAUGACUUAUGAUUUUUUUUGAAAUGUGAGAUUUAAUAACUAUCGCUCACUAGGGAGAUGUGAAGCUGAUGCUAAGUCUUGCGGGGUUUCGAUUGACAUUCGGGGUAAUGAGUGCCUAUCGGGACGUCGCGACGGUUGUCACGGGCUCGAUGAGAGUUUCGGGUCGUGACACCUUUUCAAGGAUCAAGCACAACCUCAACCAAAGUCACUACCUUUUUAGGAUCAAGCACAACAUUUACAAUCAAAAUGACUUUUAAGGAUCAAGGAGGUAUAAUUUAUACAAUAGUGGAUUCUUAAAAUAAUCUCUAGCUCAAAACCUAUAAUUGUUGGUCCUAAAUAAAUGUGUUAAAGGAGGGUGAAUAGUAUUUUUGGCUCUUACUAAACUUCAUUUCCAAUUGGGGGUAAAUUGAAGGUCAAUGAUGAGAAAUUUGAAGCAAGAUGAAGGAACGACUUAAGAAAGAAUGAAAAUGAAAAAUAAAACAGAGGAGAUAAAACUCAAAGAUUUAUAGUGGUUCAGUCAAAAACCUACAUCCACUACCUUGAUUGUUCAACCAAGGAUUUUUCAAACCAAAUCACUAAAAACAAUGGAAUUCCCUAGCUUCCACCAAGCUUUUACAAUGGCUUUUCAUUGGCUCAGCCACAACCUUUAACAAUGGUUUUUCACAAGAUCAACCAAAACCCAAAAUGGCUUUUCAAAGGCUCAAUCACAACCUUUAAUAAUGGAUUUUCACAGGAUCAACCAAAACUCAAAACUAACUUUUCUAAGGCUAAGUUAGAACCUACCACAGCAACCAAGCUAACCCAAGCUUGAUCAACCCCUUAGAGUGCCCUACACACUCUAAGUAAUCAAGAAAUGAAGAAAAGAUGAAGUACAAUUGAUCACCUAGUUGAUCUAAGAUGUACAAAGCUAAGCUCAAACACUUUUUCAAAGGAUAAGAGUGAAAUACAAGUGUAAAGAGAAGGUUUUUGGUCUUUUAAGCUCCAAAUCACUAUGGAUAGCUUUUCUCUCUUGUUUUUGACUGUUAGAGAGGCUUUAAAUACUUACAAAAUCAAUUCUGGCCAUUGGAGAUAGAAACUAGCCAUUUUUAGCUGUUAUUUUGUCUUCUAAUGCUCAAUUUAAAUUUUCUGGCAGAAUGAUCUUAGUCGACUAACUGAGCUCUUAGUCAACUAAGUUGUCUCUGUCUUCUGAUCCUAGUUUUUGACAAUGAGCUCUUAGUCAACUAACUUCUUUUUUAGUUGAUUAAAUUGUUUCUAUCUUGAAGUCCAGAUUUCUGGCAGUAGGCUUUUAGUCAACUAACUUACUUCUUGGUCAACUAAGUCUUCUCUGUUUCUGAACUAGCCAUCUUCAUUUUUGAGUUAUUAAUUUAUUAUUGACAUACAUUUUGUCCUGCACACUCAAGUAGUAGAGUUAGACAUAAAUGAAUGGCAAUGUUUUAUUAUCAUAAAAAACUUAUGGAGCCAACAAUCUUCCUUCUUUUUUUUUUUGGAUGACGACAAAACAUUCCUUGAUUAAUAGCACAAUGUCUAUUAACUCUUUUUGUUCUGCACAAGAUGAGGAAUUUCUCCCCUUGAGUGUGUGUGUCACGACCCAAAUUUCAGGCCAUGACCGGCGUAAGGGCCCAAUAGACGUAGUCCAUUAAGCCCAAGCAAGCCUAUUAAUCUAACAUGUUCAUCAUUCCAUCAUAAACUGCUAAGUCAUAUUUCAUAACUUAGAAUCAAAAUAAUAUUAGACAUUGCCACCUCAUAUUGGCAUACCAAACAAGUGUAUAUACAUUAUCUACAACAUGUAUCUUAAUAAUUUACAUUAGGUUUGUCUACACACAACAAAAGAAUACUCGACUUCCAGCGAAGAGACUCGGACUAAUGUACAGCUACUGAAUGCCGAGACACCUACCAAAAGAUGGAUACAAGUCUACAAGGACACCUCGUCCUAGUUAUUGGCUACCUCGUGAUCUGAAAACAUGAAGUUGAAAAUGGUGAGUAUAAACCCAGUGAGUGAACAAGGAAGGGAACAAGCAACCACAAGGGAAAUUUAAAAUCAUGAUGCACUUGUUUCAAAACAAUGCAAUUUAGUUCCAUUCAUAUUAAAAAACCCCUCAUCAAGCCCUUAAAUGAUUAAUCAUUUGAAAAUCAUGAACCCAUACAUAACGAACCAUUUGAAAAAUGAAAGCUUCAAUGAUACGCAAGCAAGUCAAAUGUGACAACAAAUCUUUGCUGCAGCGACGUUGGGAUUAAGUUACUAGCUGAACAAGGGUUUCUCAACUGGCCGAGGGUUUCUCACUAAACCUCGUCAUUUUAAACUUAACUCAUUUAGUCCUUAAUGUUGAAAGUCCAUGCUCAGAUAUGGUAACAAAGAAGUGAAAAAUAGGGCAGCAAUUGGACAAGAUAGGGGACAAAACAGAAAGUUUUUCACUGCAGUGAGAUUCAAUCUCGCUGCAACGAAAUUGUGACCUAAAAACAGAAAGUUUCUUGCUGCAACGAGAAUGAAUUUCGCUACAGCGAGAAGCUACAGUGUCAUUCUCACUGCAGUGAAAAUGCAUUCUCACUGCAGUGAGUUUUCAGCCAAUCUACCCCUCCAAACCCGAGAGUUUCUCGUUGCAGCAAAAAUGAUUCUCGCUAUAGCGAGAAACAGGGCACCAAUGAAAAAUUUUCCCUUCUUCCUAAAGAAAAACCACCCUGCUAAAAUGUCCAAACCAACAUGAAACGCAUGACAAUUUUCCAAGUUUAACAUGUCAAGUUUCACAUGCAUUACAACCAUAUACCAUUACUAAUUAAUUUCCUAUAACACACAUAUUUACAUAUGUAUAUAUGUAUAUGUAUACCCAUCAUCAUCAUGCACACCAUCCCAUCAUUAUGCACACCAUCCCAUCAUCAUCAUACACACCAUCACAUCAUCAUCAUCACCAGCUCAUGCACACUCCCUACUCGCACAUGGCUAGGUCAUCAUCGGGUUAUGCGCACUCCCUACUCACACAUAACCGAGUCAUUCUUGGCUUAUGCGCACUCCCUACUCGCACAUAGCCGAGUCAAUAUAAUUACACAACACUAUAGUCAAACACAUAUGUAUAUCAACAUAAUGCUGCAACAUAGAGAUCCAUGAUAACCACAUGUCAUAACAUAUAAUUGAUUUAUCAAAGGCUUGUUCCCAAGGCACUUGUUUUAACCAAAGUUGUAUAGAAUCAUUAAAAUACUUUGUACAAAACGGUCAUAUUCCCAAAACUAUUUUGAUAGGCAAUCCACUCACAAGUAUAUUGUUGAGCCUUUAGAUGACUUUAAUUCCCCUAAUUGUCCAAAUGGGAUGAUGGGGCUGUGAGACCUCAACCUCUAUAGGCUUGUAACUAAGUAUAGAUGUAAUAAUACGAGCCAGGGGUAGUUUCGUCAUUUUCUCUAAUAAGCUUCCAUAAGAAACGUUUAUGAUAAUUUAAGGCUUAAAUGGGUAUAAGACUGCAUAAAUGAUGUGUGCUGAUGAAAACAUGAAGAAAACUAGAAGUUUCAAUAAUUUUCAUAACAGGGGCAAAAUGGUCAUUUUUCACCUCGGGUUAAAACUUUAAGUUUUUAUGAACCCGAACAUGUCUAGACCAUUAUGGAUCUUGUCCCAGUGUUAAAAGAGUAAAAAGUUUGCAUAAAACAUUGGAGGAGAAUAAGUAAAUUGGUGGAAGGGCAUUUUCGUAAUUUUAAGAGAAAAGAUAAGAUUGCCUAUAAAUAUCUUGAAUUUCCAGCAACUUCUAGAGAUGUUCCAACAGCUGGUCUUCUUCUUCUUCUUCUUCUCCUCUCUCAUGUUUUUUCAAAACUCCAUGGAAGCUUGAUUUGAAGCUUGAAUGAUUUUCUCUCUCUAGCUCUAGUUUUCACACCUUUGAACCCUUUUGACUAGAACCUUUGAAUUCUUUCAUCCUCUCACUUUAAAACCCUUGAUAAAGCUUAUUUCCAUACUUUCUCUCACUAGUUGGGCAUUUUAGAGAGAGAAAAAGAGAAUUACUCUAUUGAUUUAGAAGCAAUUAGAAGAGAAUUUGACUACAAAGGAGCCCUAGGGUAAGUAAUGAACUAAGCUCGAUUUUUAGUUGCAGAAAAUGGCUAGUAAUUGGGAUUUAUGAGCUGUUUUAUUGUUGAGUAUGUUCAUUACUUUUAGUGAUUAAGAUAGUGAACAUAGAUAGCUAUUUAAUGUGGCAAUUGAAAACUAGCUAAGAGAUAGCUUUUAAAGUUCAUAGUGUGUAAAUUGAUCUAUUGUUUAUGUUAAUGUGAUCCUAGGUUUUAAGGAAGCCCCAUCAUCUCAUUUGGACAAUUAAGGGAAUUGGAGUCAUCUAAAGGCUUUACAAUCAAUUGGUGAGUGGACUGCCUUCAAAACUUAUUUUGGGAAUAUAAUGUAUUUGAUAAACGUUUGAAUGAUUUUAUACGAUUUUUCAUGAAAAUGAAUGUCUUGGGAACAAGCUCUUGAGAAAUGAUUUAUGUUAUGAUAUGUGGUUAUUAUGGAUUUCUAUGUGGCUGCAUUAUAUUGAUAUACAUAUAUGCUUGAAUAUAAUGUUGUGUAAUUAUAUUGACUCGGCUAUGUGCGAGUACGGAGUGCGCAUAAGCCGAGGAUGACCCGGUUAUGUGCGAGUAGGGAGUACACAUAACCCGGUGAUGACCUAACCAUGUACAAGUAGGGAGUGCGCAUGAGCUGGUGAGGAUGAUGAUGGGAUGGUGUGAUGAUGAUGAUGGGUAUAAGCGUAUAUAUAUAUAUAUAUGUAAAUAUGUGUGUCAUAGGAAAUUGAUGGAUAAUGGGUUCUGGUUGUAAUGCAUGUGAAACUUGACAUGUUAAACCUUGAGAAAUUGUUAUGUGUUUCAUAUUGGUUUUGAACAUUUCAAGCAGGGUGGUUUUNNNNNNNNNNNNNNNNNNNNNNNNNNNNNNNNNNNNNNNNNNNNNNNNNNNNNNNNNNNNNNNNNNNNNNNNNNNNNNNNNNNNNNNNNNNNNNNNNNNNNNNNNNNNNNNNNNNNNNNNNNNNNNNNNNNNNNNNNNNNNNNNNNNNNNNNNNNNNNNNNNNNNNNNNNNNNNNNNNNNNNNNNNNNNNNNNNNNNNNNNNNNNNNNNNNNNNNNNNNNNNNNNNNNNNNNNNNNNNNNNNNNNNNNNNNNNNNNNNNNNNNNNNNNNNNNNNNNNNNNNNNNNNNNNNNNNNNNNNNNNNNNNNNNNNNNNNNNNNNNNNNNNNNNNNNNNNNNNNNNNNNNNNNNNNNNNNNNNNNNNNNNNNNNNNNNNNNNNNNNNNNNNNNNNNNNNNNNNNNNNNNNNNNNNNNNNNNNNNNNNNNNNNNNNNNNNNNNNNNNNNNNNNNNNNNNNNNNNNNNNNNNNNNNNNNNNNNNNNNNNNNNNNNNNNNNNNNNNNNNNNNNNNNNNNNNNNNNNNNNNNNNNNNNNNNNNNNNNNNNNNNNNNNNNNNNNNNNNNNNNNNNNNNNNNNNNNNNNNNNNNNNNNNNNNNNNNNNNNNNNNNNNNNNNNNNNNNNNNNNNNNNNNNNNNNNNNNNNNNNNNNNNNNNNNNNNNNNNNNNNNNNNNNNNNNNNNNNNNNNNNNNNNNNNNNNNNNNNNNNNNNNNNNNNNNNNNNNNNNNNNNNNNNNNNNNNNNNNNNNNNNNNNNNNNNNNNNNNNNNNNNNNNNNNNNNNNNNNNNNNNNNNNNNNNNNNNNNNNNNNNNNNNNNNNNNNNNNNNNNNNNNNNNNNNNNNNNNNNNNNNNNNNNNNNNNNNNNNNNNNNNNNNNNNNNNNNNNNNNNNNNNNNNNNNNNNNNNNNNNNNNNNNNNNNNNNNNNNNNNNNNNNNNNNNNNNNNNNNNNNNNNNNNNNNNNNNNNNNNNNNNNNNNNNNNNNNNNNNNNNNNNNNNNNNNNNNNNNNNNNNNNNNNNNNNNGAGUAAUGCCAGUACGAGUUGGCAAUGUAUAUCACUAUUUUGAUUCAAAAGUAUGAAAUAUGACUUAGCGAUAUUUGAUGGAAUGAUGAGUAGGAUAAAUCGAUAGGCUUGCUUGGGCUUAAUAGACUACGUUUAUUGGGCCCUUGUGCCGGUCAUGGCCCGAAAAUUUGGGUCGUGACAGGGGCUUCCUUGAAACCUACCAUCACAUUAACAUCACCAUUAUGUUAAUUCACAUACUAUAAACCCUAAAAGCUAUCUCUCAACUAGCUUUCAAUUGUCACUUUAAAUGAUUAUCGAUGUUCACUAUCUUAAUCACUAUAAAAUGAAUGAACAUACUCAACAAUAAAACAGCUCAUAAUCCCAAUUACUAGCCAUUAUUCACAGCUAAAAAUCAAGCUUAGUUCAUCACUCACCCUAGGGUUUCUUUGUAGUUGAAUUCUCUUCCAAUAGCUUCCAAACAAAUGGUGUAAUUCUCUCUUUCUCUCUCUAGAAUGCCCAACUAGUGAGGAAAAGUAUGAAAAUAAGAUUUUUCAAGGGUUUUAAGAAGAGAGAGUGGAAGAAUACAAGGGUUCUAGUCAUAAAGGCACAAAGGUAUGAAAACUAGAGCUAGAGAGAGAAAAUCAUGCAAGCUCCAUAUCAAGCUUCCGUGGAGGUUGGAAGCAAUGUGAAAGAAAAAAAGGAGGAAGAAGAAAAAGCUGCUGGAAAAUGGGAGAAAAAGCUGCUGGAAGAAAAAUAUUUAUAGCCAAUCUUAUCCAUUCCACUUAAAUUACCAAAAUGCCCCUCCACCAAUUAACUUACUCUCCUCCAACCCUUUAUGAAAUCUUUUUACUCCUUUGACACUGGGACAAGGUCCAUAAUGGUCUAGACAUACUCGGGUUCAUGAACGCUUAUAAUUUUAACCCGAGGUGAAAAAUGACCAUUUUGCCUCUACCAUGAAAAUCAUCAAAAUUUUUGUUUCCUUUUCAUUUUACCCCUAAUUUCAUCAUCUAUUUAUGCCUUAGGCCUACUUAGGCCUUAAUAUUGUUUAAACUUACUUUUAUGGGUUUGGUAAGGAAAUGACAAAAUUACUCUUGAUCAGGGAUAUCACGUAUACUUCCCUUUACAAGUCUAUAAAGGUCAAGGUCUCAUAGUGUGCCCCCCCUUAAUGUAUGCAUGAUCUUUUCAAGUUAUUUUGUUAUCCAACUUAGCAAGUCAGUUAAUUUUUUAUCUAUUUCUUAAUGAAAAUAACAAGCAUUGAUUCAAACAUUUGACAGAGCAUAUUCAUGAAUUGUCUUACAAGCUUGCAGAGCUACCAGUUAUAAGUAACAAGAUAUUAUCAAUAUUUUGACCAUUUAUACCAUCAUCAGCAUAUUAUCAACAAACCAUAUCCAUUCUAGAAUCAAAUGUCAUUAACAAGCCAACAAAGAUAACAUAAAAGCAUAACAAAAGUAAGUCAUCAGCAUCCAAAUCCUAACCAUCAACAAUUAUCAUAGCAGAAUGUCAAAUUCUAACCAUCAGCAAUUAUCACAGCAGAAUGUUAUAAGUAACUAAGUAUCACACACAUAAAUUAAACAUGAAGACCUAUCAAACUCUGUUUAACUUAGUCUUCCUUCUCUCCUUUUUCUUUUUCAUCAUUAAACAAGAUAUUCAAAACUUUCACUUAAUGAAUGCAUCAAGAUUUUCCUUGAAUCUUUAAAUCAAACUUUAAUGAAUGAGAAUUAUAAGCACUCAUGCACCUAAGUCAUACAAGCUUAUAGAUAUAGUUCAAUAACUUCAAGAGUCAAGCUUGUGCCUAUGUAAGAACAAAUGUAUGGGAGUUAAAUCAUUUCAAGAAAUUGUCAAGGAUUACUCAAAUAAUGUUCAAGCAAAUUUGAUCAUUUUGUCAUAAUCAAAACUAUAAUAAUUUUAAAGCUAACACUAAUAAAGCUAGUAAGGAAUUUGAGUACAAAAAGAUGAGAGCUUUCUCAAGAAUUAUGAACGAUAAAGUGAAGUUUAAGCUCAAGAAACUCUAGCUAAGAAAUAAAAAUGUGAUCUUGGUUUUCUGCUCUUGCUAAAAAAAAGGAUUUUUUUUUGUUCACAACUUUCUUACUUGUUUUUGCUAUUUUCUUUGCUUUUCAAUUCUUUUCAAUCUCUUCAAAAGUGUGUCUAUAAUGUCCUCAGAUUGGAUAUUUAUAGGCCCCGUGAUUUCUUUCCUUUUGGAAUGAAAUUUGAAUAAACUUUUAUACAUUUUGGCCAACUUGCACAUUUCUAUCGCAUAUGUAGAAUCGAUUCUUUGUUCAUGAGUUAUCAGUUCUUCAUAAAAUCUAAAAUUUUUUGUCUCUAUAGAAUUGAUUCUUCCUUCUUGAGAUGCCGAUUCUUCCACAACUUGGCUCAAAGGUGACAUCUUUACACUUUAGUAAAAUCAAUUCUUUUAUUCCAAGGAGUCGAUUCUUCACUAUGGUCUAGUGCCAAAAUUUGAAUUUGAGCUUGCUUUUUUGGCACUCCAAUCUUAUCCAAUUGUACCAUCUCUUUAUUCUUCACCAAGUUUAUGAUUUUUUUCAUUGGUGCUUCAAGAACCAAUAUCUUCUUCCUCCAAUAUCGAUUCUUUGUCUUUAGACUUUAAAUAUUUGAUUCAUUCUCACUCAAAACCGAUGAUUGCUUCAUGGAGAAUCAAUUUUUUCAUGCUUGAAUUCUUCCUUCUGCAUUUUGUUCUACUAGAAUUGAUUCUUGCUCUCUAAGCUGUCGAUUCUUCUCAAAUCUUGAAGCUUCUAUCUUCCAAGAACUGACUUUUUCUCUUAUUAGAAUUGAUUCUUCUCAUAAUAAGGGAAUAAAUUUUUCUUUCCACUCUUUUAAGAAUCGAUUCUUUAAGGCUGGCACUUGAGUUCAAGUUUGCUUAAAACCUUUUUUUCUUUGCAAGCUAAACUUCAGAAUUCUUAAGGAUUUUCUUCAAGUUUAAAAAUAUUUCUAAUCAUUUCCAAUUCAUGUUUAGAUCAAUCAAUUUUGUCAUUUCAAAACCAAGGUAAAGCUAACAAUCUCUCCUUUUUUUUUAUGACAAAAUUAAGAGCUAAAUUUGCUCAUUGAAAAACUCCUUUUGAAUUUAUGCUUAACAUUUGAAAAGAUCCCAGAACCAGGGUAACAUUAUAAAAAGGAUUUGAAAGGAUGUUCAGAACUCCGCCUGAGUUUGUGCACUUUUCAAAAUGAUUGCAUGAUAUUUUAAAAGCCCUUUUGAAAUCAUUGUUUAGGAAAAUCCAACCAAAUAUAUGAAAAGCUUUGGCAAAUUUACUCCUAAUAUUUUCCCCUUUUUUUAUGUAAAUAGAGUUAGAAUAAUGAGAAGAAAAACUCAUAGGAAAACAAAGCAUUAGUAGUACAAUAUAAAUACCAUUUAAAGACAAAGCAUAUAGACAUUCAUAGCAAGAUAGUUCAAUCAAUUAUACUUAUAGAUGUCAAAACAAAUAAUGUGAAUCUUGCAUUAUCAAUAUCUAAAUAACAAAACCAUUUAGAUCAAAACAUUAAUCAAUGAGACGUAUCUAUGAACAUGUAGAAGUCAUCCAACAAGAAUGUCACGACCCAAAUCUAGGGCCAUGACCGACGCAAAGGUAUUGAUGGGAGUUACCCUCUUAACCCAUGCAAGCCUAAGAUGAACAAUUCAAGUCAAUACUUGGAAUUACCUCAUGGGACUCAUCACCAUGGAACUGUACAUAAAACAUAUACGAACAUAUCAAAUCACAUAAGAUUAAAUCAUAUUAGUUUACACAUUAACGUGGCCAAAAUGAGAAAGCAAUAAUCAGUAAAAUAUCAUUUAUAGGCCAUCCUAUGGCAUUUACAUAGUGUGGCCAUUACUUGGCAAAUUCCAUAUACAUAUCAUUAAUACAAGACGUAAAUAUAGUCAUAUUUAUAACAGUCAAACAAAAUGACCAAACCAAAUAGGACCAACAGAGAACAACUCAAAACAAAAGGGCUAACACCUACUUGAUGCCAUAAGAUAACCUACCAAAAACUGAUCAAAGUGUUGGCUCUUCCCAAAGGACAAUGAGCCAAGCAACUAUUGAUAUGCAAAACAAGUGCAUCUUACAUUUAUGAGUUGUAAAUAACUUCAUAAGCAGAUACGAGAAGGGGGAACUAGCUAAACGGGAGAGUGUUUGUCCAAAAUACUUUUAAAAUAAAUGUAAAUAAUCUGAUUCAAAAAAAUAACAAAGUUGCCUUUCAACUGUAACAAUUUUUCCUAAGGGUUUAGGAAUUUAAUCCUAAGCAAAAUCAAGCAUCCUAUAGUGCGAGUUAUGUGCCAAGUAUGAUCACAUAUCAAACAAACUUCAAUACCAUCGCCUCGAUGGAUACAAACUUAUUUAGAAGGAUUUUAUAAAAUUUUGUUGGAAACCAUUCUCAAACCUUUGAAAUAAAAAUUAUAGUUUGUAAAACAUUCAAGUAUUCCCAAAAAAUAAUUUAUUUAUAUUGAGGUUUAAAGCUUUUGUAAAACAAAGUGUAGUUCAAAGAAAAUGAAGUAAUGUUGUUGUCUUUAGAAAAUCUUUGAGGAAAACGAAUGAAUUUCAAAUUAACAUAAUUUGCAUUACAUUGUGUAAAUCAAGUUUGAAUACCAUAUACAAAUGCCAAAAAUCUAAACAAAUAACAACUCAAGCACCAAGGUCGAAAUCAAUGUCAAUUCCAAGAAUCGAGGUCAAAACAAAUACCAAAUCUAAAGUCCAAAGUUGAGAUAAUAUCAAUACCAAAGUCCAAAAUCCAAAACAAUUAUCAAGCUUCAAUUCCAUAGCAUAACAUAUCAUUUCAAAUAAGUCGUGGAGCACUAAGUAGCAUGGUCAACUAAAUCAAAAUAUGUCGUAGCACUAAAGGGGUCGGAUACAUAAUAGUCACCAACCGUAUAUCAAAAGUGGUAAAAGUCGUAUCAUCUACCAAACAAAACCAAAUCAAGGGGGUAAGACUCUAUCAACUACCUAAUAAAAGUUAAGCAUUGUGCACAAUGACUAAUGUCUACUGUCACUAGCUAUAGGUCCAUAACUCAAGUAGGCUCCACUAAAACAUAUGUAUUAUUUUUACUAAUAUCCAAAUACUUGAUCCCACAUGAAGAGAAGAAUCCAAUCACCAUCCAAGAAACAGAGGGUUUAAUAAAAUGAAGUCAGGUGUACAAAGUCUAUUGCCAAGCAAAGUAUAUUCUCCAUCAUCAACAAAAUAAGAAUUUGAAGCAAAUGCUAAAUCAAAUCAUCAAUCUCAAGGCAAAUUGACCCGAUGCUAGGGUCUAUGCAAGGUAAAUAACUUCGUUUUAAAUUUCCAAACUUGCAAUCAUUCAAAUAGUCAUAAACAAACAUAGAUUUUUUAGGUAUCAAACAUUUCAAAAGGAUUUUUCCCCAUGCCAAAGCUAUAUACAUAGUAACAUAUUUACAUAAGAUAUCUAGAUUUCAUAAAAUAAUCUUAAAACCAUUAUUCAUAACACAAAGUCCAUCAAAAUACGUUGUUGUAGAAUAGGCAUGCUUAAUUAUAUUAAAAUAAUUAAAAAUGUUGUAUCUACCCACUUCUUGAAACGCGCUUUUUUUUUUCUCUUGGCACCUUUCGUUAAAAGCUUGACUUUCCUAACAACUCAAAUUACUCCAAUAUCACCUAAAAAUGAUAUUUAAUCAUCAAUACUCUCAAAGUCCUAAUAAAAUGAUAUUCAAUCAUCAAUUUCGUCAACAACCUUUAAAAAUUUCAUAAUACUUUGAAUAUCCAUUUCUAACCCUAUUUAAUCUCCACUUAUUUCUAAUUAUUUCCACCAAACUUUCACCCAAACUUCAUACCCAAUAAAUAAAAAACUUAUUUUACCUAUUUGUCCUCUUUGGUGAGCCUUUAGUGGAGAGAUCUAGCCCAAUCUUGAAAACUUAAAAAAUUUAUAGCUUUUAAAAAGAGAAAACAAAAAUCAUCAAAACUAAGUUUUUUGGGAGUGAAAAUCCUUACCUUUAGGACUUAGAAUCCAAGAUUUAUUGAUAAGUUUGAAGGUUUUGAAAGGUUUGAAAUUUGAGAGAAAUUGGGUGGCGAAAUAAGGAGAUAAGAGAAGAAUGAGAAAUUUUCAAGUUUUAAGGCUUUUAAGCUUGUUUUAAGCUAACUAGGCAAUUUAGGAUUGACUAUGGAGGGUCUAUAGUCAAUCCUGGACUAGAAGGUUUUGGUUUCACUCAUUUCCCCUUCACAAAAUUGACUAUAAAGGAUCUAUACCCAAUCUUGGACCAGAAUGUUCACUUUUCACUUAGUUUUCCUUCACAAGAUCAACUAUAAGCCCUCUACUAUUGGCUCCAUUAGUUUUUGAUGAUAAUAAAACAUUCCCAUUCAUUUGUGUCUAAUUUCUUUACUUGAGUGUGUAGGAAAAUUAAUGUAUGAAAUUAAUAAAUCAAUCUUUCAAAGUGAAUAUCAAAAGAAAAAAAAAGAUAAAAAAAAUAAGACAUGACUGCUUAACUAGAAGGAAGCUCAUUAGAUGAAUAAGGAAGAAUGUUGGUUGGCCAAGAUUCAAAUUGGAGAAAUGACGGGCUGAAGAAUAUUGAGAAACAGAACCAACUUAGUAGACUAAGAAAUGAGCUAGUCGACUAAGUGCUUACUGCCAGAACUGCCAAAAAUAGGGAGCAGAAAACAGAGACGACUUAGUCAACUAAGAUAUCAGUUAGUCGACUAAGAGCAUUCUGCUUGCAAGUUUGAAAUCUGCACUAAAAGAUAGAGUAACGGCUAGAACUGACUCCUAACUGUCUCCAACGACUAGAAAACUAUUAAACUGCCAUCAGAGAUGUUUCUCCAAGUAUAAAAGAGUCUUCCAACAGUUAGAAACUAGUUUUUAGAAGUUUUGGAGGAGAUUUGAGCCAUAUAGAGCUGAAAAACCAGAAAAUCUUCUCUACACCUUGCUGCACUCAAACGCCCAUCCUUGAAUUUGUAUUAUGCACUCAACCUUGUACCAUUUAGAUCAACUUGUGAUCAUAGGUACUUUUUUUUACCUUUUUUCUUCUAUUCUUAGAGUGAGAGAGUCACUCUGAGUAGUUGUUUCAAGUUAGGAUUGCUUGAAGGUGUUAAGGUUCUAACUUAGCCUUUAAAAGUUAGGUGUUGGGUUAUAGUUGAGCUUGGGAAAAACUAGUGCAAAAGGUUUUGGCUGAGCCUUGUAAAAGCCAUUGUAAAGCUUGGUGAAAGCUUGUGAAUUUCACCGAUUCUUAGUGGAUUUGUUGGGAAAAUCCUUGGUUGGAUAAUCAAGGUAGUGGAUGUAGGUCUUGGACCGAACCACUAUAAAUUGUUGUGCAUUGUCUACUCUAUUUUUUUAUUUUCAUUAUUCUGAAAAUUAGUUCCUUAUUUUGUCAAGAGUCGAUUUGUGCUAUUCACCCUCACUCCAGCACAUAUUAUUGGGACCAACAAGUGGUAUUAGAGCUAGCUGUCUGUUAUUAAGGUCUAACACCCUUUGAGAGGAUCCAAAUGGCUCAACUAAAAUCAGUAGUGGCUGAGGGACAAUCAACAAAUAGACCACCUCUGUUUGAUGGCUCUAAUUACCCUUAUUGGAGCACUAGGAUGUUAAUCUAUAUUAGAGCUAUAGACUAUGAAAUGUGGGACGUCAUAACCGAUAGACCCUUUAUGCCCUCAACCGUGAAUGUGGUGACAAAUGAGUUGAUGCCAAAUCAAAGGUCUAAAUGGACUGAAACUGAAACUAAGAAAGCUCAAAUAAAUUUUAAGGCCAUCAACACAUUACAUUGUGCCUUGACCUCCACUGAAUUUAAUAAAGUCUCAAGCUGUUCAAUAGCUAAACAAGUGUGGGAGAAACUUAGAAUAAUCCAUGAAGGGACUUUUAAAGUAAAGGAGUCCAAAAUUGCCCUCUUAACACAUAACUAUGAAAUGUUCAAAAUGGAGCCUGGUGAAGACAUCACUAGCAUGUUAGAUAGGUUUACAAACAUCACAAAUAAAUUGAGUCAACUAGGCAAGCCUAUCCCUAAACAUGAAUUAGUAAAAAGACUACUUAAGAGUCUACCAAAAAAUUGGAAGCCUAAAGUGACUACAAUUCGAGAGGCAAAAGAUCUAAAUGUUAUCACCUUAGAUGAUAUUUGUGGCUCUCUCCUAACUCAUGAGCUAGAGCUUAAAAAGGAAGAAGAAAAAGAUAGGAGGGAACCAAAUGAAAAAAAAAAGAGCAUUGCACUUAAAGCUAGCAUCCUUGAGGAAGAGCUGGAAGAGUUGUCCUGUGAUGAUGAUGAAGAGUUAGCUUUGGUUGCAUGAAAAUUUAGAAAGCUUAUGGGCAGAAGAAAUCGGAGACUGGAUAAAAGAGGGUUUAGAAAAGAUCAAGGUGCUUCAUAAAAAAUCAGAAACAAAAAAAAAGGAGUUGAUUUGCUACGAAUUCAAGAAACUUGGUCACUUCAAGUCCGAGUGUCCAUUUAUGAAAGAUGAGACUCCAAAGAAAAAUAAGAAAUCCAAAAAAGCAGUGGCUGCUGCAUGGUUGGACAAUGACACAUCAAGCUCUGAAGCUGAAGAUGAAAAAUCUGAGGAAAGAGCAAACAUUUGUUUGAUGGCACAAAAGGAUGAAACCGAGGUAUCCUCAUCCCCCUAUGAUAUUUGCAUUAAUGAUUUAUAGGAUGAGUAUGACAGCCUCUGUGAUGAAUUUGAAAAACUUUUUUCAAAAUACAAAACAUUAAAGAAAAAGGAUGCAUCUAUUGAAAAUGAUUUGGAAAAGAUGAGACAAGAGUUCAAUUCUGUUUUUGAGCAAAGAAAUAUUUUGCAAAUUAAGUUAGGACACUCAAAAACAGAUUUUGAAGUUUUAAAAUUAGAGCUGAAUAAUAAGUCUGAUGUUGUGCAAAAAUUACUUAAUGAAAACACAGCUCUCAAAUGUUUGAAAAAUGAAUCUCCAAAAAGAUAUGCAUACCACAAUAAAAAUUCUGCUAAUGCAUUACCUAGAUGCAAUAAUUGUAGUAAACAUGGUCAUUUAUCAUAUGAUUAUUUUAAGAAAAGAAAUGUGCAGAAAAUCAGAAAAAUUUGGGUUCCUACAGGAUCCUAUAUUGCAAUUAACACUCAAGAAUCCAUCAAAGUAUGGGUACCUAUAAAGAAAAACUGAAAUAUUGUUUUGUAGGUUGAACUGCACUUAAAUGAGACAUGUUCAAGAGCUCAACUCAAGAAGAAGCAGCCUUGGUACAUGGACAAUGGCUGCUCACGGCACAUGACAGGAGAUGAAAUGUUAUUUGCUCAGCUAAACAAAAGAAAGGGAGGUACCGUAUCCUUUGGUGAUGAUUCAAAAAGUAGGAUUCAUAGGAUAGAUACGAUUGGUAAGAACUCCCAAACUCAAAUCAGUCACGUGUUGUUAGUUAAGAGUUUGAAGCAUAAUUUAUUGAGCAUUAGUCAAUUAUGUGACAAAGGAUUUAAAUUAUGUUUUGAUUCAAACAAGUGUGAAGUAAUAGAUAUAGGUACAAAUAAAGUCUCAUUUAUAAGAAAGAGAUUGAAGAAUAUGUAUGUUGUUUUUCUUGAGCAUCUUGAAAUAAAUAAUGAAAUAUGCCUUGUUACAAAUGCUGGAAAUGAUAACUAGUUAUGGCAUAGAAGAUUAGGACAUGUAAGCUUGCAUACUAUGUCAAAAUUGAUUAGAAAGAACUUAGUUGUUGGGCUGCCGGAUUUAAAAUUUGAAAAUGAGAAAAUAUGUGAUGCUUACCAACUAGGAAAACAAGUUAGAACAUCCUUCAAGACUAAGAAGAUUGUGUCAACAUCUAGACCUCUUGAAUUAUUACAUAUUGAUCUAUUUGGUCCAAUAAGCACAACUAGUUUAGGAGGAAAAUCAUAUGGCUUUGUAAUAGUUGAUGUUUAUUCUAGAUAUACUUGGGUUUAUUUUCUUGCUCACAAGAAUGAUGCUAUAUCAGUUUUUAUAAGUCAUUGUAAGAAAGUUAAGAAUGAAAAAAGACUAACCAUAGUUAGCAUAAGGAGUGAUCAUGGAGGAGAAUUUGAAAAUGAUGAAUUUGAGAAAUUUUGCAAUGAAAAGGGAUGGGAUCACAAUUUCUCUACACCUAGAACACCCCAGCAAAAUGGAGUGGUAGAGAGGAAAAAUCGAACAUUACAAGAAAUGGCUAGGACUAUGUUAUGUGAGAAUAACCUAACAAAAUAUUUUUGGGCUGAGGCUGUGAACACAGCAGCUUACAUACUUAAUAGAGUCUCAAUAAGAUCCAUGAUGUCUAAGACACCAUAUGAACUUUACAAGGGUAGGAAACCAAACAUUUCUCACCUUAGAAGUUUUGGCUGUAAAUGUUUUGUAUUGAACAAUGGAAAACAGCCCCUAGGAAAGUUUGAUGCAAAAAGUGAUGAGGCAAUAUUUUUAGGAUAUGCAUUAAACUCCAAGGCUUAUAGAGUUUUCAACAAAAGGACUCUAAAUGUUGAAGAAUCAAUCCAUGUAGUUUUUGAUGAGUCAAAUGAUUUACAAAAGGAAAGUCAUGUUGAUGAUGAUGAUGUAGAAAUCCUAGAAAACCAAAUGGAAGAAAUGAGCCUAGAGAACAAUAAGAAUAAUGAAGAAAGCUCAUCUAGAAGAGAAAAUGAAACUCCACCUCUAAAAGAUCUGCAAGAACAAAAAAUCAGCAUAGUGAUCUUCCAAGAAGUUGGAGAUUUGUAAGAGACCAUCCACAAAAGCAAAUCAUAGGUGACAUUUCUCAAGGUGUCAAAUCUAGAAAAGUAACUAGGGAGACUUGUGAAUUUUCAGCUUUCCUAUCUCAAAUUGAACCUAAAAACUUUGAAGAAGCUGAAAAUGAGGAAAGUUGGAUAAUGGCCAUGCAAGAGGAACUUGACCAAUUCAAAAGAAAUCAUGUAUGGUCACUAGUACCUAGACUUUCAAAUCACCCUAUUGUUGGCACAAAAUGGGUGUUUAGAAAUAAGGUAGAUGAGCAAGGAAAUGUAGUUAGAAAUAAGGUAGAUGAGCAAGGAAAUUUAGUUAGAAAUAAAACUAGGUUAGUAGCCCAAGGAUACAACCAAGAGGAAGGAAUAAACUAUGAUGAAACCUUUGCACCGGUUGCUAGAAUUGAAGCCAUAAGGAUGUCGUUAGCUUUCGCAUGCUUCAUGAAUUUCAAAUUGUACCAAAUGGAUGUAAAAAGUGCAUUUUUAAAUGGAUUCAUUCAAGAGGAAGUAUAUGUAGAACCACCACCAGGUUUUGAAGAUUUUGAAAAACUAGAUCAUGUUUUCAAACUCCACAAAGCUUUAUAGGGAUUGAAACAAGCUUCUAGAGCUUGGUAUGAGAGGCUUUCAAAAUUUAUGGUUGAAAAAGGUUAUGAUAAAGGCAGCAUUGAUACUGCAUUGUUUAUUAAAAGAUGUUUAAAUGAUCUAAUUGUUGUGCAAAUAUAUGUGGAUGACAUUGUAUUUGGUGUAACUAAUGAGGCUUUAUGCAAGAACUUUGCUAAAGAAAUGCAGGGUGAAUUUGAGAUGAGCAUGAUGGGAGAGUUGAAGUACUUUCUUGGUCUUCAAAUUAAAUAAAGUGAAGAAAGAAUCUUCAUCAACCAAGAAAGGUACACUCAAGAUAUGCUCAAAAAGUUCGAUAUGCUAAAGCUGAAACUAACCUCCACACCAAUGAGUCCAUCCACAAGACUUGAUCUUGAUGAAAAAGGAAAGAAUGUAGAUCAAAAGCUGUAUAGAGGUAUGAUCAGUUCACUACUUUAUUUAACAGCAAGCAGACCAGAUAUUCAGUUUAGCGUGUGUUUGUGUGCUAGAUUUCAGUCAUAACCUAAAGAAUCACACCUAACAAUUGUUAAAAGAAUUUUUAGAUACCUUUUAGAAACUCAAACUUUAGGAUUAUGGUAUUCUAGAGAAUCAUCAUUUGAUCUUGUAGGCUAUUCAGAUGCUGAUUUUGCUGGCAGCAAAACUGACAAGAAAAGUACUAGUGGAACAUGCCAAUUUCUAGGUAGCAUGCCUAUGCCAUGGUCCAGCAAGAAACAAAGUUCAGUAGCUUUAUCUACAGCUGAAGCAGAGUAUAUAUCACUAAGUAGCUAUUGUGCACAAAUUCUUUGGAUUAAACAACAAUUGAAAUACUAUGGAAUGACUAUCCAUAACGUACCAAUAUACUGUGAUAACACAAGUGCAAUUAAUAUAUCAAAAAAUCCUAUGCAACACUCUAGAACAAAACACAUUGAGAUUAGACAUCAUUUUGUUAGAGACCAUGCAGUGAAAAAUGAUGUUAAAAUUGAAUUUGUGAAUACUUUGCAUCAACUAGCUAAUAUUUUUACUAAACCGCUGAAUGAAGAUAAAUUCUAUGAAAUUAGAAGAAAUCUAGGUAUGAUUAGUCAACAGGAAUUGUGAGAAAACCUUUGGUUCAUGAACAUGAAACAGAAUGCAUUUAUUCGACUAAGAUAAAUCUUAGUCAACUAAGAGUAUUCUGGUAGCAUCAAAUAAUAAGACUUAGUGAAUAAAAUAAGGAAAGAAUAAAAUAAUAUAAAGCAUGUGUGUACCGAGUGAUAAGGAAAGAAGAAAUACUGCCUAAAGUGAAUAACCAAAAUUUAGAGGGAGUUUUGAAAUUUUGAGCAAAUAGAAUAGGGCAAUAUUUAAGGGGGGAGGUGAAUGAUUUUCUAAGAGAAAUUAAAACUACUGACAACUUCUUUUUCUCCAUUUUCUUUCCCCUAAAACUCAAAAAUCUUAAACCAAAACCCUUUUCUCUCCACUUUCUUGCCUAUGAAACCGACUCAUACCAAAACUAAAACUCUCAAACCCAAGUCUGAAAUUUUCAAAAUCAAAAUGGCAAAAACAUCUCAAAGUAGAGAAAUCAUUGAAAAGAAGAAGGGAAAGAGACCAGUGGAAGAAGGAUCAAAAAUGGAAUUACUGAAAAAGAAACAAAAAAUCACGUCUGCUUCAGUGAAAGAGAUAUCUGAGAAAUUGAAAGAAAAGAAGCAGAAAACAGAAAAAAAAAAGAAGGACAAGGAAUCCACACUUAAGAAACGUACUAGUUCUUCCUCUUCUAAGUUCAAAAAUAGGAUGCAUGAACUGAGGUUCAGAAAAAUUGAGAAUGCACCUAUAACUUAUGGCAAAUAUAAUGACUGGAAGAGUUUUAAUGAGAACUUAGAAAUUCAAACAAGUUUAUCCAACUAUUUUAAUGAAUUAAAACUGAAAGGAUAUAGCACUUUUAAGAAUAGAUCUUACAAUGCAAGUCUGGUAAAGGAGUUCUAUUCUAGCAUUGCUUUAGGAGAAAAAGAAUUAGAGGAUUCUGAUGACUAUGUCGAAAAUGGUCUGAAUGUGUAUUUGAAUGGGAAAAAAUUUGUUGUCAUUGCUUGUCACGACCCGGAACUCCCAUCGAGCCCGUGACAACCGUCGCGAUGUCCUAAUAGACAUUCAUUACCUGAAAUGCCAAUCGAAACCUAGCAAGGCAUAACAUCAGUUUUCUCGCUUCCCCUAUGAGUAUUAGUUACUAAAUCAUGUUUUAAAGUGAUAUGAAACAAUUUCAAUUCAAAAACAGUCAAAGAAAAAUUUCAACUACACAGGGGUAUUUUGGUCAUUUUUCACAAAAAUUCCAAAACUAGCUAAAAUGUACUGUAUGAGAGAAAUUUACACAUUUCAUAACCGAAAAUAAGUUUACAUAUCUAAAACAUUCAUUUAAAGUGAAAUUAUAGCUACUGGAAAAAAAUAAAAAUAAUAAAUAAAAUAUUCUAAUUUUUCAUAAAACAAUUUUUAUAGAGCACUAAGUAAAUAAUUUUUAUAGUGUCAAAGCAAAAUAAAUUCCUACAUACAGUAGCACACAUAGCCAAGUAUUCAAAACAUUUAACAAUGACAUGUGGGCCCUCGAAUGACUAAAAGUAAUGAAGGUUGUGAAGCUACAAUUUUUGAGGAUGCAAGUCCAACUGUAGCCCUCAACAAAAUGAGCUAUCUACCGACUAUCUUGAGCUGAAAUGGGUGCAAAUGAGGGUGGUGAGAUUUUAUAAUCCCAGUGAGUAAACAAAUACCAUCUAAAAUAUCUAAAGUUGAGUAAAUGGAUACAGAUAAAAUAGAUUAGCAUAAAAAUGAUUCACAACAUUUCGAACUCAUUUUAGUAAGAUAAAAUAGAUUCAUUUCACUCAAAAUAAACAACGAGGCUUAUGAUUUCCUGAAAAGCUUGGCUCGUGCCAAAAUCAUUCUUAUACUCAGUUGUCAGGGAUACCUUGGCUUGGAGCUAUCCCAACCGAGUCCACCAAGGCUGUUAAAAAGUCAUGUACGCAUAAAUCAUGUUUUUAUUUUGAAAACAUAGCCUUUCCUUGGCGUUGGCUUAGUUCACCCUUACGUGGUGGUUUGGCGUAAAGUGAACUCUAAAGUUGUACCUAGGAAGUUACCUUACACGCCUCUCUGAUCGAGGUAAGAAUAUAACAGGAUUUCGUGCCCCUCAAAAAGACUGGUCUAUAGAACCCGCCCACUGUAGCAAGCUAAACCCACCAUACAAUAAAAAUUCAACAGCAUGACAUGGCAAUUUUAUCAUUAUCUAGCCUAUCAAGGUAAACAACAAUUUAUACAUUUUCAACACAAAUACUCAUCCAGCCAUUCAUGCCCACAUUAUCAUAAGUCAUUCAAUUCAAAACAUAAUUUACAAUACAGCAAGUAGUCUCCAAUUACUCCAUUUUCAAAACCAUCGUUCAAUUUCAAGACAAUUUUAUAAAAUCAUUUCAUUUAAUCACAUUUUCCAUAAAAUCACAAAAACGAAUUAAAAUUCACUUUAGAUAAUUAAGAUGAUGAUAAGGUUACUCACUAUUUCGGGAGUCAAAUUUUGAGUACUCCGAUUCUUGAUCCUCGGGUACUAUCGCUUUACUUUUGCCAGAAAGCUCACCACCUAGACAUAAUGCACAAUAAGCCAUUUACUACAUUUGUGCUAAACCGUUGCAAAACCAAUUCAGGCUUUAUACUAAUGCAUGAAAUGGGAUGUGAAAUACUCGGGUAACUAUCUAAAUACGGUGUUCAAUAUAAAUUCAAUUAUGUACCUAAAUAAAAUGAUAUUGGCCUAAUUCAAUCUAUCACCCAAUUAAUUGGCCAAUAUGUCCAAUUUAACUCCAUUUUUCUUCUAAUUCUCCAAACCAUCAAACACAAGUCAAAUAACAUAAAAUUUAGCAAAAUCAUCUUUCUCUUGGGAAUUUCGGCCAUGGUGGGUGCAUCAAUACUAUGAUUUUUCCUACUUGAUUUUCUCACCGUAAUUCAUCAUUUCCUAACCAAUUCACUUGAAAUAAAAUCAAAUCCACCAUCCACACUCUACAUGGAAAAAUCGACCAAUGAUGGGUGAUGGGAGGAAGUGAAUUUUUCUUGUUAGCUUUUCAUGCUACACAUCACUAACUAACUAAAAACACUAAAAUACAUUGAAAUCUAACCAAAUCAAGCAUCAAAACCUCCCUCUAAGUGUUCGGCCAGCAAGGGAUUCAUCAUGAAAUCAUGUGAUUCAACCAUGGAAAAUGCAAAAGAAUGUAUGGGAAAGGUAGAUCGCAAGUCAAAAUCAAGAAAUUUUACCUUUGAUUGCUUGAUUACUUGAAAUCCACCAAUUUUCUCUUGAAUUUUCACUCUAGGGUUUUUGUUCUUUCUUUUCUUCCUUUGUUCUUGCUUUGGCCGGCCAUAAGAAUGAAUGUGGAAGAGUUCAAAUUGGCUUUAUAAAGGAAAAUAUUAAAUGGACAAAAAUUUACCAUGUGUCACCAUUCCAUUGGUC
Molecule: long non-coding RNA, 65117 nt
Filed under: Theobroma cacao (cacao)
Lineage: Eukaryota; Viridiplantae; Streptophyta; Magnoliopsida; Malvales; Malvaceae
Description: long non-coding RNA (TCAC_LNC000395)
Rfam family: Plant small nucleolar RNA R71 (bases 19805-19911)
Source: RNAcentral